UUUUUUUUUUUUGGCUGAAACCCGACCAGAGAAUUAACAUGUUGGUGUUUAAGUUGUGUUAUAGACAUAUGUUUAUAUGGAUAUCAACAGAAAUAUGAAAAAUAUAACUUACGGAAGGGCAGCAGGGCAGGGGAAGCAAUCGAACCAAGAGAGUAGGUGGUAACAGGGGAGAUCAGGUAGUCACCUACUCAAAAGAAAGAAACUUGUAGAAAGCGGAAAUCAAGAAUGAAUGCUGUUGGCAGCAAUAUAUCUUCCCUCCUAAAAAGAGUAUGCCCAAGACAUGUAAGGCUUGCACAAAGAGGUGGUAGGUCGGUCAAAGUAUAGUAGUUGUUGUUCAUGAUACAUACCUUGGCUUGCAGAUGAGUUGUCGAAGGAUGUAUUCUUGGUGAGGAAGUAGAAAUGCUGGGAAAUGCAGAUAAAGGGGCAUCCAGGAGGUCAUCGUCCAACACGAUAUCUGAAAGUGGGGGGGAAUCGAAGUACAAAAGGGAGUAUUGACUGAGCGAACGGGAUCGAUCUAUCUUUGUAUGUAGAUAAGAAGCAUACCAUCAAGUUAUUCACAAAUAAAAAUCCCUAAGGAAAAAGAAUUCGUCGAAGUCCAAUAAAUGAAAUGAUGGAUUCACUCCGAGGCGGCUGGUGGCGUUCGAUUCUUCCCUAAGCAUAAGUCCUCCAUAAUGCCGAUGACAAACGUGAAGGAAAAUAAUUUAAGAAGGACUUCGGACAUGGUUUAGCUCGACAUGUGACAUUUGAAGGGAGAUUGGGGCCGCGCGAUGCAUUUCAUUAGUAAGUCAUGAAAAUACGACCUUUUGUCGAGAAUCGCAAUUGCAUCCGAAGGUUAAGUGAAACAUAAUCUUAUGAUCUUUAUGUCCUCGACACCUCCCGAUAGAAAGCUGUGCCAAACCAAUCUUAUGUCAUUGGCAACUAUUUAAGAGGUGCAAAGCACGCGUGAGCGUUUGUCAUGGACAAAGAAAAGAGUCGAUAUGAUGAGUACGAAGACUGAGCUGAGCCACCCAAACUCGUGCUUGCUUUAUCGUGUCUUGAAGAAACGAGUAAAUAGAAGGGUAAAGGUAUGUUUUCCGGCACAUGACUUCGGCUGCAUCCAAUCUUUGGUGAGCGAGCGGCCUACGUUACCGCGAUCUAUACUCCACCUUCCCACCUAUUUUUCUUCCUUCCAUCUGUUCUUGCCUAUUCUUCUUCUUCCUUUUUCUUUUUUUCUUUUUUUUUUGGUUUGACGAAAGAAAGAGAUCGAUCGGCUACAAACGCGCGACCGUCGGAUAAAUAAGCAUCCCUGAAUCGAAGUCCUCCACUUGUAAAACUUUGAGACAGGUUGGGUGGUCUUCUUCUUUGGUCCACCCCAUACCGGAGAAGUAGCGCACACAAACACAUCGGCCCAGUCUCUCCCUAUACAUUACACAUAAAACAAAGAGGGAGAGAAGAUAAAGACGAUGACAGGCAGUAUCGAGCAGCCCACCGGAAUGCUUUGCCGUCGCCCCUGGUUUCCCCUUGGGCAACCGCUUCUUCGGCUGGCUGACUUAGUCACGGUGGAGAGUUUCUCGGGUGACGUGGUUUCUCAUAGACGCCUAGGUGCGGGUCCCACAGUAAUCAGAUUACGGACUACGAGAGUCUCACGUAAACCGUGAAACUUUUGCAGGGUGGUUCGGUCGACCCGAGUAGCAUCUUCCUUUCCUCCUCCUCCAGCAUCCCCACCUAAAUGGCCUCCCGUCCCUAUUUAUAGCCCCACCGCCAUCUCCGUCACCUUCCUCCAACCGGAAUCAUCCCCGUCCCGGACUCCCUCGCUCUCGUGGAGGAGGAGGAUAUCCCCACCCUUCCCCUUCCCAAAAAGAGGCAUAGGAGACCGUUCGUUUCUCCUCCUUUGAAAAAAGCAAAGUACAUAGACUUUGCUCGCUCAUGAGUAACUAGAACUCGGGUGUACAGAUCCAUCAUCCCAUCCCUCUUCUCCUACUUGCCCACCUUGCGACGACAACUGCCUUCCUCUUCUUUUCGUCCUGCCAAAACCCAAUCUUUUUCCCGUUGUCCGAGUCUUGGGAGUCCGGCAUUUCUUGAGUCGCUCGAACUCCCGACUUCGAUUGAUCGGCACCGGGAUCUCCUGGGUCGGGUUUUCUUGUCUCAGGCUUUUCUGUUUUUGGAUGAGGGUCAACGGCAGCUUGGCCGACCGGAAGGGAAGCGACCAAGUAGCGACGGGGAAAAGCACGUCUUCCUCCAACUCCAAGAAGAAUAAGAGGCGGCAGAAGAAGUCGGCGGCCAUGCCGACCGCCGUGCAGAGGGUGUUUGAGGCAUGCAAGGAGGUGUUUGCCGAUGGUGCGCCUGGCAUCGUCCCAUCGCCGGAUGAGGUGGAGCGCCUUCGAUCCGUUCUCGGUACUACUAUACGCUACGGCCGGAUCUUUCCUUCUUUCUUUUGCCUAUUCUGUAGAAUGGAUUGGAACAGAUUGCUUUGCAGCAGUUGCACAUCGAUGUUAAGUAAAACAGAUCGGAUUAGCGAAUUCGCUUCCGCUAAAUCUUAGGCAUGAAAGAACCGUUGACAGCUUAAAGCGGCGACUUCGGUUGGAUCGAAAAGAGAAGAUAUUAGUUGAUGCCCACUGCUCUUCCGAGACUGUUGUGUAGUUUGUAAGUGAGGUCGCCAAUCUUUCUUAGGACACUGUUCUUUUCAUGAUAUCAAUUGAUAUUACAUCGCAAGAUUGAACUGAAUCUUCUCUGCCAUCAUAUAGUUGCUUACCAUCAAGUGUAUUUCUGUAAACUUGUGAAUGGGUUUUCUUUUCUGAAAAAGGAUUUCAAUGGCUAGAUCAUGACUUUUCUUUGUCAACGGGUUUAUGUUUUACUGUGAACAAGUAAACAUGAUCAGGUGGGGAUAUUGCAGGGAACCUUACCACACCUCUAUGCGCGCUUUGAUUGCUAGCUCCCGGCGCAGUCAUGAUAUCGCUGCCCAGGAUCUUCUUUGGUUCUCUUAUCUCCUAAAUCCUAUGGAAUCUUCAUGAAUGAGAUAUAAUAGGAAACGGAAGAUUUGGGUAGCAAUUAGUUGAAUAUAGGAAAUUUACUUUUUGUCACAUAUUGAUUCUCGAUCUCUAAUGUGGUGGUCGUCCCACGCAGAUGCCGUAAUGCCAGCAGAUGUCGGUCUAAGUCCAAACCUGUCAUUUUUUCGAGAUGUCGGGACGGGUGGACCUCCUCCAGUGACAUAUUUGCACCUAUACGAGUGCCCCAAGUUCUCGGUAUCCCGCUGCACUCUGUGGAUUCUGCUGCCAGAUGCAUUUGAUUUGAAGUCUCUCGUUGCAUUUUUGCAGAUUGGUAUCUUCUGCCUCCCGCAAGGAGCUGUAAUUCCACUGCAUGAUCACCCGGCAAUGACUGUUUUUAGCAAACUUCUCAUGGGCUCCAUGCACGUCAAGUCAUACGAUUGGGUUAAUGAUCCGCUUGGCUCCGACCAGAGAAUCAAAUCCUCAACCGGUGUGUGCCGCUCCAUGCUCUGUCGGAUUGGUGGAGUUUGUAUGAAAUACUAAGGAAGCGUUUGAUCGAUGAUCCUCUCAAGACUUGAUGUACUACUGCUAGUAUUGACGAGUGAUGGUUAAUGUUUAUAAAUCCGCAGGCGCGAGUUUGGCAAAGUUGCACACCGAUGCCAUCUCUGUUGCUCCCUGCGAGACGUCUGUUUUGUACCCUGCCGCUGCGGGUAACUUGCAUUGCUUUACUGCAGUGACUUCCUGCGCAGUGUUGGAUGUUCUCGGACCACCAUACGACGACGAAGAAGGGAGGGCUUGCACUUACUACCGGGGGAAUGCGUGCUCCAAUCUUCCGGGUAUGUAUGCCGUUCACCGUUCUCCCUAUGUUACUUACGAUGAUCCAAGUGCUGCGCGGUGCAAUGUACGUAGUCGUCGGAUCGGAUAGGCGAUGCGUGUUUGGUUUUUCGUUUCCACGAAGAAAGUGUUUUGUGCGGUAUGUAUGCAUGGUUGCUUGUUUCAGGCGAUGGGCUAACGCGGUGUGGGGAGAGGGAGGAGUACUAUGCAUGGCUGGAAGAGAGGGGAAGCGAGCCUGAUGAGCUGGUGGUACGCGGUGCUGAGUACAAGGGCCCCAGAAUAGUCGACCACUGAAUUUGUACUGUGACUGUUGCAGCAAAGAUGAACAAACAAACAAGGUUAAAGAGAAAGAUGAUGCUCCUCGGAGAAGAGGAGAAAGGAAGGACCACAUAGUUGUGUUAUUCAUCACCCUCAGAGGAUCUCUUGAUUCCAUGAUCGAUAUAUACAUGGAGCAAUAAACACCCCCAUUUUGUCCUUUUGGAUGUUUAUUUUUCUGUAUUCGUUCGUAUGGGCAUAAGACUAGGUUGGAGAGUACAGUAAUAAAUCUGUUGAGGAGGCACGAGAAUGACAGUACCACUACCACGGGAGCCUUUGUGGGGUGUGUGUCCGCAUAAGCAAGGUGAGAUGCGACUUCCCACGGCUGCUUGCUUGUUGGAGCAGAGAGAGAGAGAGAGAGAGAUGACUUCUGGAAACCACACCAUGCAUGGUGGCCUCUCGUGUGUCAUCUGUAGAAACGAGCUGCUCUUGCGUCUCUCUCUCUCUCUCUCUCUCUCUCUCUCUGGUGCAAAAAGGCACUCCACUCUCGGAUGUAUUGAAUUGAAUUUUCUUCUAUCGUUUAAUAUCCGGAGCUAAAAUGUUAAUGGGAAUUACACGAUUACAUGUUUGUGUUUUGGGAUGAACAAGUUAAGACGACGAUACCUACCCCAAGUGAGGCAACAGGUUCUAUAUGUCGUUGCCUUUGCCUGAUGUCUAAUAUAAGACAAUUAUAAUAAAAAUGCAUGUAUUCUCAAAUCCAUCUAAUAUGGACAAUUAUAAUAUAAUACAAGUAUUUUUAAAUAUAUCUAAUAUAGACAUUAUAACAAAAUGCAUGUAUUGUCAGUCAAAUUAUUUUCUUUAUUACUUAGUUAUGUCAUAUAUUUCACCUCAGUGGUUGAAAACAUAAUAGUAGAUUGGAGCUUGGCUUUUCGAGUCAUUACAAUAUUACGAUAAUAAUGAAUCUCAUAAUUAAAUUUUUAAAAAUCUAUAAUACAUACAUAGAUAGAUAGAUGAUAAGAUUUCUUCAAUUAUACGAGGACUCUAUUUUGUUGAGGAAAAUCCUUCCUCCUAAUCUAUAUAAAUAAAUAGGAGAUAGACAUGUUAAUGUAUUCAAGCUAAAACUUCUUCAAUAAAGCUUCUUCAAUAAUUAUUCUUUUCUAUUAUUUUCAUCAUGGUAUCAGAGUAAUGAGAAAAGCGAAGUUUCGGCAAUCGCAGCAGCAGUAGCGAUUUGCUCUUGCUCUACUCAUGAAGCUUCUCGCUCGUAAACCAUUCUUUACAUCGAUCCAAGAUUAGUAUCUUGACAUAAGCAAAAUCUCUCUAUUCUAUUGAGAAAAAUUCUAUAUUUUGUUGAGAGAAAUCAUUCCUCCUAAUCUAUAUAAAUAGGAGAGGGACAUGUUUUCAAGCUAAAACUUCUUCAAUAAUUAUUCUUAUUUUCUAUUAUUUUCAUCAAUUAGUUCCCCCAAAUAGUAAACAAGCCUUUUGAGUUACUCACAAGUACUCUAUUUAAUAGCUUUUUAGUGAGCUUUUCUCAGAUUUGCUAUGUAUUGACUCAGUAUACUAGUAGUAUAAGCAAGAUCUGAGUACAUACAGACCAUGACGUACAUUUGAAUAAGGAACUUUUUUUAUUUAUUUAUUCUGCUUUUUUCUUAUCUUAGAAGCAUAAUGACUCUAACGAUCGAAAAUGUGUGAUCAAAGAUUACAUGUCGAAUAAUUCUAUCAUUUUUUUUAUGUACAUCUCUUCAAAUAAGUAUAACUUCUUAAUAAAAUUAUCAUGAUACAUCUCUAAGAAAUCAUUUUUUCGCCACAAGUCCUUCGUUUCAAACUCCUCCUUAAGUAGUUAUUUAAGCAUGUCUAUUUCAGACUUCUCUAUUGUAGUAACAAACAUAUCAUCAAUGAUAAUAAUAAAUAUAUCAUGAAUUACUUAAUUUUCUUUAAAUAUAUGCAACUAUCAUAAAGCUAUCUAAUAUAUCCUAAAUUAGGUAUAAAUUGAUCAAAUUUUUUAAACCAUUAUCUUGGAGACUAUUUGUGGCUGUAGAGGGAUUAAUUUAGUAAAAAAAACAUGGUUCUUCUUUUCGUUUUUCAUAAACCUUAGUUGCUCCAUGUAGAUAUUUCUUCUAAGUCUUUAUAAAAAAAAUGUUUUCAUAUCUAGUUACUCUAACUGAAUGUAGCUACUAAGGCUAAUAAUUCUUGAAGAGAAGUAUGUUUAACAACUUGACAAAUGCUAAUAAUCAAGAUGUUAUAUCCUUCACCCACCAAGUGAGCCUUAUAGCUACCCUCUAGAUUUAAAAAAAUCACUUAGCCUAACUAACUUUUUAUUGGGUGAAGGCUUCACUAAUUCUCAUUAUUCAAUAGUGAAUGAAAUUAUUAUGAUGUUGAUUCUUCGAGUUUGGACUAAGUCUCAUUGUAUGAAGUUGGCUCUUUUACACUCUAUAACUCUACGAUAAUAGUGAUUGCAUAAGUGAUGAUAUUCAUAUUCUUUGGGUUCGAAUAUAGUCUAUGACAUGACCAGCUAAGGGCAAAACUACAAGGGGCUCCUCGGUGGGUUAUGGUUCCUCCUCAUUUUCAUAUUUUGGAGAUGUAGGAGUAAUGACAGGUUCUUCAGGUACCAUGAAUAUUUUAGAAUCAAAACUCCUUGUUCAGUCAGUUGUAUAUCUUUUGCAACAUUCUCCUUAUCUUUCUACAAUAAUAAUUCUUCAUUAAAAAUAAUAGCCUUAUGUAUCUCAGUUAUAAAAUUCUAGUACCAAACUUUAUACUCUUUUAACUCCAAGGGAUAAUCUAGGAAAAUAUAGCAUUUUGACAUAUAUUCUAGUUUAUCAUCCUUAACCUAACAUAUAUUUUUUUAUUAAAAUAUUAUAUUUUUCUAGGUUAUCCAUAUGAGCAAAAGACUUUAAAAUUUUGUAUCCAAAUAAUCUCAAAACUAAGAUAAAGGGAUAUUAUUUUUGAUGAAUAGGUGCUAUUGUAAAAGGAUAAGGAGGAGGCUACGAAAGAUGCAAAAUUAACUGAACAAGAACUUGUCAUUAUUCAUAUAUCUCCUAAAGAUGAAAAAAAAAAUGAAUCACAACAAAUCUAAGAGUAGUGCCCCUACAGUUUUACCCUCAACCGAUCACGUUAUGUAUCACAUCCCAAUCCAAAGUACACAAAUGUCAUCAACUACACACUCACUGUCGCUAAAGAGUUUCAUAGUACAUCAGAGUCAAUUUCAUACAAGAAUAUUCUUAAUAGUCCAAACUAAAAAAAUUGACAUCAAGCAAUGAUCAUUUUAUUCACUAUCAAAGAAUUGUACUUUGAGAAUUGAUGAAGCCUCCACCCCAUAGCCAGCUAGUUUGGUGUAAAUGCAUAUUUAAGAUCAAGAAAGAAAACAACUAUAAGACUCACAUGAUGACUAAGAGAUAUAAUCAGAUUUAUUUUAUUAAAAACACGUGAUGUGAGAAUAUAUAUAUAUAUAUAUAUUAUUUUUUUAUUUUUUUUCAUAGAGCAUUUUUUUUUUCAUGGCCAUCCUGGCCCUAUCGACCAUCAUCCUCUGUCAACUCUUGAUCGCAUCGAUCACCCCCCUCCAUCAAACCCAUCUAACGACGGAGGUUUAAUGACCCUCAUUGUACCCCGUUGAACUAAUGAAGGAGUGGUCCUCACUUAUCCUCGGACUAGCAAGGACGUUUGAAACUUAGGAGUUUAUUUUUCUGAAAAUUCAUCUUUCUUAAAAAAACAAAUAGAAAUAAAAAAAAUCUCAAUGUUGUGGCACUGACCAACACGAAUCUUCACGGCGCAAACAUUUUCACGGACCCGAAUCUUUUUGGAGGUUUGAGUUGCGUCGGAUUCGGAUUCAAUUAUUUAUCAACAUCCAACAAUAUGCUACCGGGUCGAAUACUAAUCCCGGAAUGAAAGCAUUCCACGAUUUCUUCGGCCUUCCCGUUGUGAGUUUUGUCGGUGCUGAGACGAUGGGCGACCCGAUCGCGGAUCACAAGCAGUAACCCCACUCCUCUUCUUCAACCUACUCCGUAUCUAUCCUCCAAUUUGCGCUUGUGCUAACCAGACGAUGGAGCAAUUUUUACCUUUUUCUGUUUCCAAGCAAGCCUCGGUGCAUCAAAUGCAAGCAAUCUUUCUGACCCGAGAUCAUAACAUUUUCCAAGGCCGGCAAAGUUAUGAAGGUAGCACUUUAUACCGCUGCUGUUUGGGCCACUUAGCAGUGUUUUGAACCUUCGUCACUUGAAUGGAAGACUCAGUUUUGGAGCCCCCUUUACCAGUACAAGCUUCUCAAUUUCUCUCAGAAGUUGAAUCUGAAACAUAUGAAGCUCGCCAGGCUGCCAGUAAGUAGCCUCGGAAGUUAUUUCUUUGACUUGUAUUGCCACAGUGAAAUAUGCAUAAAGAGAUAAUUCCAUCUCCAGUCUGCUUCUUUUUUAUUGUACUUUGACCCGCGAGUUAAGAGUAAGCUAUUAGGUUCUAGGAGAAUCUCAUUGUCCCAUCUAAUCAUCUCACGAAAGACUUCGAUGAAUUGUUAUUUCCACAUACAUCUGUAAGUUAAAUCUGUUGCUUGCAAAGCAAUGGCACACAGGACAUGGUUUCUAGUUAAAGAACCAUGAGCUUACUCAAGUAUCUGAGAUGCUAUGAGUUUAUCUGCAGGAGAUUAGACUGGUUAUUAGUUUGAUAGAUUUGACAUCGUGCAUUUUUGGAGGAACAGAAUCAGCAAAUCUAAUGACUAUUUAGGCAAAUCUUACAUCAUUUCCACAUCGGCAUUGAAGGAUUGGUUUCUUGGAGGUUUGGGGUAUACCUCACUGUUCUCCUAUUGGCAGAAAAGGCUCCUCUACAACCAUGACCACACAUCCUUAUCGUAACUUGAAACUAAGGAUUCGAUUGGACAUAGCAUAUAGUCGAUCUGAAGGACGUCAGAGUUCAAUAGACGGGGUUGGUAUAUACAUUUGCAUCCUGCACAUAGCCAACUUGAUUUCAUGCCCGGUUAAGAAGACAGGGUCAGUCGGUGCAGAUGCAUGUUAGUGCUAUCUUCUUGAAAAGACUUUUGGCAUGAAAUUGUCAUUUUAGCUGAUAACCUGUUGGGUCCGGACCAUAUAGGUGGGCUUAGACCGAAUGAUUUGGGCAUUAAGUCUAAAUCUGAUUUAUUAAAAAAAAAACGAAAAAUAUGACGAUGUAAAAAAAAAUAAAAAUAAAAGAUUAAAAUUUUGAGAUUUUUGUUAGAGAUCAAAAGCUUUAUCAAUUUUGACUCAAAUUUUAUAUAAAGAAUUCUUGUAACAAGCUCUAUAAUUCUUACGAUGCUGAUCUAUAGUUUUAUCUCUGAUAUGUUUUUCUGAUAUACCCACUUGAUGAAACCUAAAUCUUUCCUUUGAUGAAAUCUAUCUAUUAUGAUAAUGGUAUAUUACUAUUGAAUCAAGAUAUGUGUUCUUGAUGUUAUUGUGAUUGUGAUCCUCUAAUUAUUUAUAGAAGAGUUAUUAUAAACAUAUUAUCAUUAUUGGUGAUAGUAGAGGUCUGAAAUGAACUACGGUCCCGUAAUUUUUUCGUAUUAAAUAUUUACAUAAAAAAAUUUUAUAUCUCACUUUACGAUUGAUUCAUUAUUUUACUAUUUAUACUACACUUGUUAAUAUUUGUUUUGGUAACAAGUUAAUAUUUUGAUAAGAAACUCAUUUUGAUUUAUUUUACUAAAAUAAAAUUUUCCAAUAAAACCAACCAUUCAUACCAUUUAUAUGUUCUUUCUGAUGAUGAAUAUAGAACUUUAUUUACAAGAACACUAGUCGACCAAGAUUUUAGGGUCCUGACAAUGGAAAUACAAUUCUUUAACUCCGGAGUUACCUAUGCCAGCAUUGACUUGUCCUAACACUUCUUCGAGUGUCAUCCUGAAUGCAGUUCAGCAGGAGAGGUCAUGGGAAUUAGGUGUUUCGACAGCUCGAUGCUGUGUUACUGCUGGGUAGGGGGCAUGAUGGUUAUGGGUACCCUCAUAGGUGGUUAUCACAAAGCUUGAGUCGUCUCGGUGUCUCUCUACUUUCUUCUUGACUUGGCAUCCUUCGCUUGAGCAGCGAUAGUAGUUCCUGCAAUCUACUUUAUUAGUUUGUCUUCGCAAACCAAGCAGCACAAUCAACAUGUAAGUGCUCUUUCGAAAGUAAUGUAUGCGCGCAACCUUCGAAAGACGAGCACUUCACCAAUCUAAUAAAAAAUGAAAGGUCCUUUCAUUCAAAUCCUUGUGGAUGUGGAACGAACUCUGUUCGUAUAAGUUGAAAUUGAAUAGAUUUGCACUUGCUUAAGAGGUUUGACCUCUAGAGAUAUGUGCAUCUGAUGAGAGUAUGAUUCUUGUUUUUGUGUAUUGACAUGCCAUAUUAUACCUAAGAUUAAGAGUUUCACCUGGGAUUUGGGCUGCUUUUCACUGCUUUUUUCCCAUACUUCCUCCACUUGUAUCCAUCAUCUAAUAUCUCAAGCUCUGAUUUUGUUUUGAAUGCGACUUUAAAACUGCUGCUCCUCUUCGAAGAUCUCUUUCCGGCAUCCUUGCUUCUGCAUGAUCGAUCACAUAUGAAAUACCAAACACAUGGUAAAGUAAAUAUCGUUAAACAUCCAUGAAUCGAGUCUCAAGCCAACUAGUGUAAAGACUUGGCCUAAACACUUGCUUGUUGCAAUCUGUGAUCUUGGUUUUGUUGGCGGCGCAGUCGGCGGCCUGCACAAGAGGAUACCGGUGAACGGAUGGAUGGCUCAAAGAGGCCUCUUCGUGUCCGUCAUCGGCGAAGGUGAGAUAGUCGUCGACCUCAAACACCCCAUCUUCUGGCAGAGCGUUCUCAGAAGAAUUGGACGGCAUCGAAGAGGAAGAGGAAAACAUGAUGAGCAGUGAGAGCAUAAACUUAACCUCGACCGGCGGAAACUUCAUUCAGCGAAGCCCGAGCGAUCCUUCUUGCGCCAAGUCCGUCGGCCUUUUCUUGGGGACCUUCGUUGGCUUGGGGGCAAAGACUUGGUUGACUUGUGAGUCAAUCCACUGGUUGCGAGCAGUCUGCGUGGAAUACAGGUCAAGGCGCAGACUGGUCAAGAGAAUAUUGAAGUCCAAUCGUAUUCCGGCAUCGGUUCCUCCCUCCUUUAGGCCUUUGGCAUCAAACCAAUGGAGCCAAAAGGCGAUGCUUUUUGUUUUCACUAUGAAAGCUUUUGAGAAGUGAUCUUUCCGGCCCCCAUGACGCAGAAGAACAGGGAGUUGUAGACUUGGCCGAUCGACGACUUGCACGACGGACGAAACAAGUUCCUGCGAGGUACACAGGAAACCAAUCGAGCCCAUUAUUGUCCAGUCAAUGCGCAUGCGGUUGUGAUUUGGCAGUGGUUUCGAAGGACAAAGUUGUGGUACCCCCAGUCCUGCAUGCAUCAUGAAGGGUAGGCAAACAGCUCUCUCGAGAUACGUGUGCAAACAGUAGGAUUCCAAGCAGCUCAUUCGAUUCGAUGGCGGCAAGUAGACGUUAUGUCGCACAGGUUAAAUAUCUCAGUAUAAUUGGUAUCGCCAUCAUUUUACUGGAGACAGAAAAAUACGUAGAGUUCCAGGAUGUAGCCACUGUUGUUCGAUAGCAACUCCAUCCGCCAUCGCCUUGACUGAAUCCACCCAUCGUCCAUUCGCAGCGGACAAGGAUGUCCAACCACAACUCCAGCGACUAGUCCAAACGACUGCAUCUUUCUUUCAUGUCCACCAUCCUGUGGAACACGGCAUCCGUCCCAGCGCAAUCGGGAAGACGGGAGAGGAAGGGGCAGUUCCGUCGUAACGUAUUCCGUGUUCCAGUCGGGUUACUGUAUCCGUCGGUGACCUGUUGUAAUCGUCCUCCUCCUGCUCUGCCAGCCUCUACUUUAUACGACCGGCAUAUCGAUCCCGGAACGCUGGCGUGACUUGCUGGAAUUACCACAAACGAAACGCCCGCCAACGAGUUGCUCUCACGGCACCGCUCGUACAUACAAGAAUUCAAGUCCAACGCAGGAAGCGUGCUUCCGUGGUCAAACGAUAUUCCAGUACGUCCUGGUCGGUUGUCCCGUCAACCACGUGGAUAGAUCACGGUCGAUCGACGUUGGCCACGCUUCCCUGGUCGAUGACAUGGAUUGUGCCACGGAGAUAAGCUGCUGCUGCGCGCUGGUCAUCUGUUUUAGUUGACCAGGGCGCGCUUCUUUAGACUGGUGUUUGUAGACAGACACGACACACCAUCAUCGAGUGGGGAGGCACACGAGUCGCUUCGUAUGGUUGCGGCAAUGUAGAUGACGAAAGGAAAAUACAUAUACAUAUACAUGUAUAAGAUGGAUAUGUCGUUUGAUAACAUGAUUAGGGAAGAACGUGUGGCCUCAAUUAGGUGUCCACAUGUGCCCAGCUCAGUUCCCUUGAAGCGGCAUCAUUAUUACAUCAUCGCCAUGCCUCUCCUUGUGACACAUUGGGAUGCACCAUGAGUUUUUAAUGAUAUUGCAUGACUAACGUGUCUCUAUCACCAAGGCAACGAUAAAACUGUGUUGACUUAACUUCAAUGCUAGAAGAUGCUAAUUAUUAUUUUCUCAUGGUGUGUUUAUUUUGCUACUACAACAAUCAUAGACUCCGAUGAUAUAUGCCAUGAUGUAGCAUCUACUUAUAUCAUGUGAUUUAUAGAAGGUCCUCAUCUAUCAUGAUUCCUUCACCAUAUUGGUUGCAAUUGCCUUCGUAUAACAAGCUCUUAUGCAUCAAAGAAGAAAGUUAUCUCCUCCUUCUCUAGCUAUUUAUUAGACCAGGGAUUUAAACCUUCUAUUUUUUUCAUAAAGGAUACCUUCUUAAAAUAAAAGGACAAAAAAAAUAUAUUGAAAAGGGCAUAGUGGCCUCUCAUCAAAAGGCAUAGAGGAUAAACCCUUGCCAUGUGAAGAAGCCAAUAACUCCAAGAAAGAAUAAUAAGAAACAUCUUUCUUUCUACCUCUCUACCUUAUUAUAAAUAGUUCCUCUUGUUUGUUUCAUCUUGAGCUCAUAAAGAUAGAGCAACAAAACAACUCGAACAUUGAAGGGUUGCCCGUCAACCUUUGAUAUCUCUUCUUUGUUUGUGUUACAAGUGAGUCUUCAAGCUCCUAAUCCCGAUAGCAAAAAAUGAGGUAUUGUCGAAAUUCCUCAAACAUAGAACCGACUAUGAUUAGGUCAACAAAAUUAUUAGAUCAAUAUAUAUGUAAUAGACUUUCACCUUGUUAAAAUGUCCUCUUUGAUUAAAAUCAUCCUAUUUCCACCUUCUAUGAUUAUAACAAUCACCAUCAAUAUUAAAAAUUUUUUAAGACAAUCCCGAUUGAACAAAAAUUAAAGAAAAAAUAAAAGUAAACCAAAAAAAAAAAAUGAUGCUAGCUAUAGAUUAAUGAUAAAAAUGAGGACAAAAAAUAAUGUGAUAAUAGUAGAAAAUAGACAGCUAUAUUUAACAACUAAAUUUAUAUCGGUAUCGUUGGUGCCACCAAUCCUUUGUUCCGAUGUUAAAAUUCAAGACACUAAUAAAUGAUCAUACGUAACAUUUGGCUAUAUUUUGGAUCGGAUCGACCUUCUUUAGUAUCUUUUUUUUUUGUUGGAAUAAAACGAGGUCUUAUAAAAUAUUAAUAUAAAUUAGAUUAUUUUCUUAAUAAUUUAAAAUUUUAAAAUUAUUAAUCACAUAAUCAUAAUAUUGAUUGAUUGAUGAUGUAUCAUCCUCAAUAUUCCUCGAAUAGUAAUGAUGUUAUGUGACCAACAUAAAAUGAUAAUUACGACUAAAAUUUGAAAUCAUUGAAAUGUGAUCAAAAGUACCACGUAAUAGAAUAUUUUCAAUUAAUCAUAUUUUUUUAAUUAAAAUUCUGUUUAAUUAGUCAUGUAUCCAUUCCCCAUUCCUAGGUGGUGGACCCUCUUUAUCAAGGGUUUUUUUUUUUUGGCUUACGCUAAUUAAAUAUCCAUAAAAACAAAUAGUCGUUAAUCGGCAGGCAUAUGAAAUAAAUGAGCAAAAAACAAGUAAAGGGAAUACUUAAACCUUCAUCUUCUUCCUCCUUCAAAGUCUCUCGAGGAAUCGAGUGUGAGGAGCUCCAAAAUGCUAUUAAGUUAACGUAGAUUUAGAUUUUGGAACUUGGGGAGGGGAGGAUAGAUUAAAUGUCACUAACGGCUAUUUUCUUAUCCUUUCUUCCCUCCAUACAAAUCCAACUUCUUCGUAUGUAGAUUUAGGAUGAUUUUCUUAGAAAAUAUUUCAAUUGGUACUUGUCAUUAUAUUUUUUUAAAUAGUAUUCCUAAUUUAAAAAUAGCUAAACUAUCUUUUAAUUUUUUUAAAAAAAUAUUAGAAAACAUGUUUGAAAACACUAUAAAUAAUUUAAAUAGACUCAUAAUGUAACUUACGGUGUUCUUCAAUAAUAUUUAUAGUGUUUUAAGUACAUUAAUAAAAUAUUAUAAAUAUUAUUAAAAAAAAUAUAAAUGAGUCAAAUAUAAAUACUAUAAUAAUUAGAAAUCGAUAAAAGAAAAUUUGACAAAAAAAAAACUUAUGAAAUAUAUUUUACGUAUUUUAAAUUAGGAAUAUUAUUUGGGGAAAAAAAUAAAAAUGUAAUUUUGAAAAAUACUCAAAAUAUAUAUGUCUUUUUCUUUUUUAAAAUCACAGCCUAAAGAUUCUACCUGCAUGGGUGGGUGGAGCAAAGCCAGCGGAACACUCGGUGGGUGUUCGUGACCCUAAAGAACAAGUUCAGUUAUGUAUCGUCUCGGUAACUAUAUACACACUCCUGAAUCUACCCGGUCUGUCAACGAAGGCAGCUACGGGCCCACAUGCGUUCGCGGCAAGUAGUGACGGGGUAGGAAAAGCGACGCCAAUGGUUUCCAUUUACUUGAGAACAACUGAAUGGGAUGAAACGGGAGACACGACGGCAGACGGCAGCAAAGGAAGGGGUGGGUCAUGGAAGGGCAAAACAGUCAUUCGAGGUAAUGUGCAUGUCCGGGCGCCGACUGAUCCGAGCACGUUUCCGACAUUUGCUUCUGUUUUUUAGGAAAUGGAAACGAACGGCAACAACAAAAAGGAAAAGAAGAAAAAACAACAAACGAGUAAGCGAAUUUAAUUACCGUGGCGGUCUUUUAUUUUAUUUCUUUUCGCUGUUACAAGGGAAGCAAUGGUCGCGUCGCUCGAGUUUUUGUUGUAGGCUCUACCUGUUUUUGUUGGUGUGCACACCACGACGCCUCUGCUUCUCCCGGACGAACAUAGCGAGCGAGAUAAAGAAGAAGAAGAAGAAGAAGGAGAGGUGAGGGGGCAAGAGGGAAAGCGAUCGCCUCCGAAUCCUCCGAGUGCUAUCGGGGUUUCCUCCUUCCCCGUCCUCCAUCGCCUCCGAUCUCAUCGGUCGUCUCUCGAGGAGGAGGAGAUUCCGAUCUGAAUCGCUCGAUCCCGCGCCGAUGAUCCAUGGUACGGAGUCGCCGUCCACUCUUUAUGUUUUCUCGAAGUCUAAUUUCUUUUCUGAUCUUCUAUGUCUUUGUUUCCUUCUUCUGGAUAAGUCAAAUUUAUUUAGGACCGAGGAUACCUUCUCUCGGGUUCAGUUUCUUGUGUACUCCUCCCAGGAAUAACGGGCCUCCGUGAUUCUAGGGCUUAUGCUUGCACUGUAACGGCUCAUCAGAGGAUGAUUUGGUCCACCUGUAGUCUUAGAUGAUAUAAGCAUAUUAGAUAACGUGUCUCGAUGUGGAAUUCGCUGGUUAUACCCGUCGAAUGAAUUGGUCUUAAGUUGGGAAAAUAUCGAUCACGAUACACUGAUAAUAAUGCCUAAAACUGACGAAGCUAAGGAUACAACUAUUGCGGCAAUCGGUAACCACUAGAGAAAUGCAUGGAGGAGGUUGGUUUGGAAAUCGAGAUUGUUGGGACAAAUUGCUGCUGAAUUGCUUAUAAAGGGAAGAGUAAUGUUCUUCGUCAUUAGGUUCACCAGGUCUUUUUUACCAGCUUAGAGACUCAGAUAUGAGGUAGGUAUGUUGGAUCGUGUUGAAGUACGUUCAUCAAUUGCAACUUUUUAUCGGAUUCAAUAUGCCCUGACAAAAAGUUUGAGGGUUCGUGACAAAUGAAGAGAGAGUGAGUUUGCUUAUAGUGGCAUUUGAUCCAUUAUGCCACUAAAUUAUGGGCUUAACUGGUGCAUUAUGAAACAUGCCAUAGUGAUAUUAGUCUGUCUCUCUUUUAAUUUCUCUCGCAAAAGGGAGAUAGAUUCAAGGAUAUCAGAAUUCAAGGAGAUAAAUUCAAGGAUUAACUGUAUAUAUUUUUACCUCAAGAUGUCAACAGGAUAGGGAUUAAAGUGAUUUGAUUUCUGUACUUGAUGAUAAAAAAAGAUUUGUACAGUGGGCCUAGAAAUACUCGACUGAACAAAUGAAUUCUAAAGCAAAAGAUACUUCUUGAAAAUUUUUAGCAUAUAAAUUACAUGGGAGCAUGUUGUUAUUUUAAUAGAUUGUAUAAAAUGCAAGAGAAUGGUGAAGAACUUUUACGAUAUUUUAUUCAGAAUGAUCCUAAGAUUUGUAGUACGAUGCAAACCAAGAGGUGGGUUAAGGAAGUAAUAAGUUAAGAUAACUGAAAAUAAAAAAUGGUUGAGUUGCUGCCUUCUGCUUCUUGAUCUCCAUGAUUGCCCUUUCUGUUCAUAGGAUUCAUCACGCACUAGCUGCAGAUAUUCUGUACAGGUUUUGCCUUCGCUUUCUUUUCUUGCGAGCUAUUCAGAUAGAUAUGCAGUUAGUUGGUCUAUUCUGCGCAAGAGAAGAAUAACUUAGUUGAGUUGCUGUCUUCUGCCUCUAGAUUUCCACCACUGGCCUUUCUGCCUGCAGGAAUUGUCAUCUACUAGCUGCUGACAUUCUCAACAGUCUUUUUCUGUCAUUUUUCUCCCAAGAUGCUCUAAUUGAUGUGUGGUUUUGUGACCUAAUCUCCCACCAACAUGCCUAAUUUUAGAUGAUUGUUUUUCCAACUUCUGCUACACUAACUCAAUAGUUCUGCCUGACCACGGGGACCUGCCCAUGUUGCCUCUAGCUAAGGUGGUGCAUUCUAGUUGUCUUUAAUAGGUUGUAAACUAAUAAUGGGUUAAGCUGCAUCCACAGUCCUCCACUUAUUGGCUAAGUACCAUUGGCUCUAUAUGUGGUUGCCUGGACCGCCUUUUCAGUACAGUCAAAGGAAGCAAAUAUUUUAUAAGAUCUUUACUAACUUCUAGCAUUUUUUCUAUAAAUUUCAGAUGUAAAUACUUGAGAUUUUUAAGAAUUAAUGACCUCAGAUUCUUUUGUUUGAUAUAUAGUUUACAUAUUUGUUAUUCAGAUUUGGAAGAAAUAUGGUAUCAUGCAAUAUGAUUAAUUAGAAAAGAUAUAUGUUCUCUGGUUACUGAAUUUCAUGUUUUCAUGCCACAUGAUACUGAAUCUGUACAUGCCUUUGACUUAUAUGUCUGACCGAUAAUGCAUAUGCAGGCAAGUCUAGAUAACAUCAUUGUGGGAUCUCAUGUCUGGGUUGAAGAUCCAGUUCUGGCUUGGAUCGAUGGAGAGGUUUUUAAGAUUAAUGGUAAUGAGGUUCAUGUGCACACAACAAAUGGGAAAACGGUAUGUGUGCAAAGUAUUUUUCGGUUCAUUUUAUUCUCAUGAAAAUCCUUGUCAUCAAUAUUGUCAUUGUUUGUGUCAAUGUAAACUUUGACUAGCCUUUGACACCUAUGGAGUGCCUAUCUAACUUGUGUCAGUUCUUUUCAAAUUUCUUAUUUUUUAAUGAAGAAUAUGAUAUUAGCCCAUCUAUUCAUUUUUAUAACCUAAGUAAUACAUUCUAGUAAUUUGUCCUGCUGCAAGACUUAAACAUGUCUUCUAUUACAUUGUUACUUUGUAAAUAACUAUCCUUUUUUAUAACAUUUCUGGGUUAUAUUAUUUAUUAGAUUAUUUUCCUUUUUGUUGUGUUUACAUGUGUGUGUGUGUGUGUAUAUCUAUGUUGGCCUAGGUGAAUUAGUAAUUGGUGAUAUAGUUAUUUGGUUUGCUUGGGUAACAAGGGAGGGGUUGGAUGGACAACAACCUCUAGGGAAACUGGAGAGAAUAAAGAAGAUGGUAGUGAUAACCUGUCUUGCAUAUGAGGAAGUAAUUUCAGUUUAAUAGAAAAGUGGGAGAAUCGUAAUUAACUUGAAUCAAGGUUUGAGGAAUUUAGUUGCAACAGUAGAAUUUAGAGUUAUAGUCAUGUCAACUCUGUUUAGUCAACUAAAUCAGAUCAAUCAAUUGAAUUUGCCAGGAUGGGCCUGGAUCAGUAGGUAUGCACUGAAGCUAGUUUUGUCAGCUGGUGGCAGUUGAGAAGAGUGGAGAUGAAUUGGAAGGUGUGAAAAUGGAUUUGAUGUUGGAACAACCACAUCCUUAUCUAUUUUUAACCAACAGAUGCAAAUACCUCACAAAAAUCUUUUAGUAACCAUAUAAAUUUAGAUUCAUAAAGAUAUGUAUUGGAUAUAUAUAAUGGAUGUGUUUGAAUUGGGUUUUAGGUCGAUAUAGAUGUGAAAACUAUAGAAAUCAAAGAAAACAUGAAAAUAAACAAAAAAGAAAUCAAUUCAAAUCUAUCAAUCAUGUUUAUUUAAUUAACAACUUUAAAGCAAAUGCAAAAAUGAAAAUGAGGAAUGAGAAAAAAAUUACUACGUAGGAAAUAGAAAUCAGAUAACAAAUUUUCUUUAGAUAAUAGAGGUAAAAUUUUCGAGUCCAGGAUCUUGCAAUAAUGUAAACAUAUCCAGCUCCACAUGAAGAUGGUAAUGGAUUUUACAUACAUUGGCCUAUCUAGUAUCUCCCCUUCAUCAUCCAGAUUCAGUUUUUGGUUGAUUUUAACUGAUUUGUGGCUGAUUACCUAAUUGUAUUUUGUUGUUUAAGCUAAAUCACGACCAUAAAAAUAAAAUGAUCCUUUUAUAUAGUGCAGAUAAUGGUCAACUAGGAAAGAUUUGUGGACUUCAAUUUUUUUUAAGAAGCUCCUAUUAGUAGUGCUUCUUAGAUAACACAUUUCUACUUACUAAAACAAUAACUUUUGUACCUUGAUAAGAGUUUUUAUAUUGCCUUCUCAUCAAAUAACAUAGUGCUGCUGUAAUCAUGAACUUGAUUUUUCCAUGGCUUCUGUGCGUUCUAUACCACAGUACUAAAAAAGAAUUCUCAUUGCCCAUUGCCCAUUGCUGCUCUAUCUUUUUGCUUGCAGACAGUCUAAUAAGCUCAAGAACCAUCUCUAAUUCUGUACUUGGGCAUAUAUAUUUCCAGAAAAUAAUUAUACUCGAAUGCCAAUAUAUUGAACCAUCUGUAGUUCUCUACCUGGACAGAGUUCUCUACUUGGACAUAAACUACUUCCACAAAAUAAUAACACUCAUUUGCAUGCCAUUAAAUUUUAUUUUACUCUUUUCUGAUAUCAACAAGCAGUAUACUGACUCCCAUGGUUUCUAGAAAUUAGUCAUCUGAUUUAGGGUUUGUUUCUUGGACACUGUAAAGCCAGAGGAAGUAAUGAGGUGAUUAACAUACUUUGGCCUCAUUAUCAUUGUAUUUUUUAAAGAAUCAGAAGUUAUACAAUGCUCUCUGUUAGCAUUUUUAUGCACAAGAUUUCCCUUCUACAAGAGCUUCCUUGUAUUUGUAUAUGUCUAUGUGCACAAUGAAAAAAGUAAGUGUCAGCACGACAAGAGGCUCCAGGUCAGUAUCAUGCCAGCAUGGUAUGACAUUACUGGUAUGAUUAGAGAUUUAUAAUUUUAGAUGGUAAGAUGAGCUCAAUGCAUGCUAUCAAAGUUGGAAAUAAUAUUUGUGUGGGUCCAAACCUAUACAUCUUAUUAGUUCCUUGAUUUCAAAUUUCUACUUUUGGUUGUUUUGGCAGUAUUACUAAUCUAGGUAGUUCUUCAGUUAGUUGUUCUUUUACUAUUGGCACUUAAAUAUUCACUGAAUUGUGAUUAUCUUUCUUCACAUGCAGGUUGUGGCAAACAUAUCUAAAGUGUUUCCCAAGGAUACAGAAGCUCCACCUGCUGGAGUGGAUGAUAUGACAAAAUUAUCAUACUUGCACGAACCUGGAGUAUUGCAGAAUCUUGCGACACGUUAUGAACUUAAUGAAAUAUACGUGAGCUGCUCAUAAUAUUCACUGUUUUUAUGUUGAAUGCUAUUGACUAAUAAAAGUUGUCUAUGCACUCUAACUCCGUAAUUCUUUGGCUUUGUCAGACAUACACUGGAAAUAUCCUGAUCGCCGUGAACCCAUUUCAAAGAUUACCUCAUCUCUACGAUACCCACAUGAUGGAGCAAUAUCAAGGGGCAGCUUUUGGGGAGCUAAGUCCUCAUGUUUUUGCAGUUGCAGAUGUUGCUUACAGGUGAUAUUAAUUGUAUUCACAACAUAAUAAAGAGAGUAUCUUCUUUUACAUGGGUUUAUUUCUAUAUGGAAACAGGGCUAUGAUUAAUGAAGGGAAAAGAAACUCCAUCUUGGUUAGUGGAGAAAGUGGUGCUGGUAAGACUGAAACAACUAAGAUGCUUAUGCGAUAUCUGGCAUACUUGGGUGGACGAUCUGGAAUAGAAGGAAGGACCGUCGAACAACAAGUGUUGGAAGUAAGAUAUGAUAAACUUGUUUUUCAGUGUUUGAUUAUUAACAUUUACUUCUUAUUUUACUCAUAGCAAACUACAUAGAUAGGUGUAGUUUGGACUGAUAUCUAUCAUCAUUCUCUCAGUCCAAUCCAGUUCUUGAAGCUUUUGGCAAUGCCAAAACUGUUCGAAACAAUAACUCAAGGUAACACUAUUUUAGUAUUCUUUCCUUUUUGGACAAGUAUUUUCUUUUCAUGUCAAGCAUUAGUAAUGUGGCGUUUGAUCAACAGUCACUUUGAUGCAUCUGUUGAAAAUUGAGACAAAUGUUUAAUCAGCUGUGAAUAAUAUGUUUCACAUUAUUUUGGUAUCAUAUUAACAGUAACUUUGGUUCAUCUGUCGAAAAUUGAGAUAAAUGCUUGAUCAGCUGUAUAUAAUAUGUUUCACAUCAUUUUGGUACCAUAUUUGCUAUGUUCAAAUAUCUAAUUUGUCUUUCUUGUUUUUGUUCAUCCAAUAUCGAUUUAGUCGGUUUGGUAAAUUUGUUGAGAUCCAAUUUGACAAUAACGGAAGGAUAUCAGGUGCUGCUAUUAGAACAUACUUACUUGAAAGAUCUCGUGUCUGCCAAAUUAAUGAUCCUGAGAGAAACUAUCAUUGUUUUUACCUUCUCUGUGCUGCACCUCAUGUGGUAUGUAUGCCCUGCCAUUGUUUUUAAAUGGGUUAUGUUAAUUCUUGGAAUGGACAUUAUAAAAUGUUUACCUAUGUGGCAGGAGAUCGAGAAGUAUAAGUUGGGGAGUCCGCAAUCAUUUCAUUAUCUUAACCAAUCCAAAUGCUUCAAAUUAGAUGGGGUUGAUGAAGCUCAAGAAUAUCUAUCUACCAGAAGGGCCAUGGAUAUAGUUGGGAUCAGUGAGCAUGAACAGGUAUGCUUCUUUAGUUUAUUCUAAAGUAAGUUGGUUCUUUAAUUCUGAACAUUGUUAUUCAAUUGUAUUGUUUAUAUUCAGGAGGCAAUAUUCAAGGUUGUAGCUGCCAUACUUCAUAUUGGAAAUAUUGAUUUUGCUAAAGGGCCAGAAAUAGAUUCAUCUGUUAUCAAAGACGAGAAGUCAAGAUUUCAUCUUAACAUGGCAGCCGAACUUCUGAUGUAUGCCCAAGUUAUCUGUUUCUGUUCUGUGAAAAAUUAUUCUUUUACCAACAUGGCAUGAAAUAAUGUUUAUGUCAGGUGUGAUGUCAAGGGUUUAGAGAAUGCAUUGAUAAAACGUGUCAUGGUGACCCCUGAAGAAGUUAUUACAAGAACUCUUGAUCCUGCUUCCGCAAUUGUCAGCAGGGAUGGUUUAGCAAAAACCGUCUAUUCCCGACUAUUUGAUUGGUAAGAGCUCUGUCUUGUUGUGAAAAUCCUGGCACUGGUCCUUUAUGAUAGUGCAAUUAAUCAUUUGAUUGGUCACACUCUAUACAGGCUUGUAGACAAAAUAAAUGUAUCAAUUGGGCAGGAUCCAAAUUCAAAGUCACUGAUUGGAGUUCUUGAUAUAUAUGGUUUUGAAAGUUUCAAAUGUAAUAGGUAAUCCAUCAAUAGGAAAAUGCAAUCACAGUUUUGCUUUCAGGGAUUACGGAUGGUUAAACAUGAUAAUUGAUGAUUCUUAUCUUUUGUCUUGUUCUCAAAACAGUUUUGAACAGCUCUGUAUCAAUUAUACAAAUGAAAAGCUGCAGCAACAUUUCAAUCAGGUUUUCCUAAAGCUUUUUACAUAAUUUUGUAGAUUGAAUUAAUUAUAGGUUCAAUUUUAACACAUGAUGCCAUGUCCAGCAUGUCUUCAAGAUGGAGCAAGAGGAGUAUACCAAGGAGGAGAUUAACUGGAGCUACAUAGAAUUUGUUGAUAACCAAGAUGUUCUGGAUUUGAUUGAGAAGGUUUAUCAUUUUUUGUCAUAAUUUUAUUUUGAUUUGUGAUUUUUUGCAGAAAUUGGUGAUUUUGUUUGGUAGCAUCUUGAUCAGAUUCAUUAUUUAUGCAUUUACAACAACUAUACUUUUUUUAAUGGGUAAAAUUGAUAGGACAAUGUCCAGAGAACAUAUGGGUCAAGAAUGAGUUUGGUAACCUCGAAGAACAUAUCUGUAUUAGAAAAUCAAUUUAGUUUUUAAGCCCAAGCGUUUCAUCUUUGUUAACCAUGAAACUGUAUAAGAUUGAUAAUAUCAUAAUAGUGUUUGGUGGGGAACAGUAGGAUACACAUAAAUUUCAUGGAUGGAUGAAAACAUCCUUUCAGCUGUGAAUCCUUUUUGUGGUGGUAUAAUUUGCUCAAGAAAGCAUAGAAAAGAUAAAUGUUCUUUUUAACUGCUCAUGUACUGGUUUAUUCCAUUGAGGAGUAGGAGGUUGAUCCAACACUAUUUGAUUUCAGCUCUAUUGGAUAUUUUUCCCUGCCACUGAGCUCUUUUGAUGACAGUCAAUCCAAGAGUCUUAAUGUACUUUCAACAAUAUGCCAUUCGAUAUAAUGCCAAUGUGAAUGUGUGGCAUUCUUUUGAUCAUAUAGAAGUGAUUGGAUGUUAACAUUACCAGAUCUCUUUCUAUACUAUAGCUACUAAUUAUCCACUUUAUCAACCCAGUGCAGUUCUGGUAUAAAAAAUCUCAAUUUCUAUACCAGUAUGAUCAUGCUGCUCUUUAGUGAAAUGACAGUGCUAGCCCUAACAUAUUGGUGCACUAUGUCCAAUGACAGAGCAUUAGUCUUACUUUAUCGUGUUCUGUCUCUGUUCUACAAUAACCAUUGGUGCACCCAUUUUGUUGAACACAAAACUUGUACUAUCUGGUAUAAUCAUAUGGAUAAUCCUCCAACUUUCCUGCAAUAUUUGUCUUUAGCUUCAACAAAACUGUUGUCGGUGGAUGAUACAAGUCUGCAAGUGCAAUCUGCCAAUUCUAUUACUUGACAACUGUGAUCCUACUGAUUUUUGUACGUCAAUUUGAACGCCUAACAAAUUCAACUACUUGACAAUAUACCAAAUAUCUUUUAACGAAUGUGGAUAUGUUGUUUCUGUGCAGUACAGUUUAAUGUGAAUGAAGUAAUAAGGUAGUAACACAAGGCCCUGAGUGCAUUUGCAACAUUUAAUGCCCAGACUUUAGCAUGUCAGUUCAGAUGCAUAUUGAACUCAACUACUUGAUGUUAUUUGUCAUAAGUCUUUUCUUAUAUGUGGAAUUAUAGAAUUGGCUGUAUGUAAAGCUGGAAGGCACAAUAUAUAUGACCCUGAGUUUGCUUUCAAUUUUUUUAAACAAAUUUUCUUUUGGCUACCAACUUACUUGCCAUUAUGACGACAAAUAUUUUAUUUCAGAAACCUGGAGGAAUAAUUGCGCUUCUUGAUGAAGCCUGGUAUGUGUUGAUUGCUUCCCUUGUUUUGGUACAAAACCAUUUUUCUACUUGGAAGGAAAUUCUAUCAAGUAACAUUAGGAUUCUUAUAUGUCCAUAUGCAUCUAUUCUAAAGUAACUUUUGAUUUAUCCUACAUUUCUUGCUUGAUUCAGCAUGUUUCCCAAGUCAACACACGAGACAUUUGCUCAAAAAUUGUAUCAAACAUUCAAAAACAACAAGAGGUUUAUAAAACCAAAACUUUCUCGCACAAACUUUACAAUUGGCCAUUAUGCUGGAGAGGUAAGUAUUCAUUUUUUGAAUAUGCUGAAGUACUUUUAUUGAAUCUUCCUUUGAUUGGAUUAAUAUAUCUAUUAUCUAUCCUAUCUACUUAGGUAACAUAUCAAGCUGACUACUUCUUGGACAAAAACAAAGAUUAUGUUGUGGCAGAACAUCAAGAAUUAUUGAAUGCUUCCAAGUGCCCAUUUGUUUCGGGUUUAUUUCCACCACUUCCUGAAGAGACAUCAAAAUCUUCCAAAUUCUCUUCCAUCGGAGCCCGCUUUAAAGUAAUAUUUUUUUUUCUGUUCAUAUAUUAUUUUCUGUAUGUUACAAAUAAUAUUAUUUUUCUAGUAAUUGUUUUCUUAAACUCAUGUGUGAAAUGACCUGCUUACUCUUCUUUAGUAGUGAAUCCUUGUGCAGAGGUAAUAUUUACGAGUGAAUGUCACCCUGUGAUUCAACAACUGUCAUCAAGUAGAAACUGCAUGGCACAUAACUACACAUGGGUUAACUUAAUAUUUCUGGUGUCCAUUGAAUUUUUUUUUUUUGCAUUUAUAGAUGGAAAUUUUUUAUACUGAUUGAGUAAUAGGUGAGAUUUUCUAAUAGGAUCAUCAACCUUGUGCUUUUAUCCAUGGGAGGGCAUCUAUGAGUGUAGACAUACAUAAACUUGCAAUUUUUUUAAAAUUUUGUGCUUCAGUGUCUACAAGAAAGAUGUGUACAAUGACUUUUAAGUUGAUUUGCUUAGUUAAUUAGUUACAAAUACACUUCUCUUUUUGACUUGUGAUCUUACAAAAUCUCAGCUACAACUCCAAUCGCUGAUGGAAACCUUGAACUCAACUCAACCUCAUUACAUCAGAUGUGUGAAGCCAAAUAAUGUCCUCAAACCUGCUAUUUUUGAGAACUUCAAUGUUAUCCAACAGUUGCGAUGUGGAGUAAGUCCCAUCUUACUACAAUUGACUUGUAAUUCUUUUUGAUAUUAUUUUCAAUCAUCACAUAAUCUUUUACCAUUUUGCUUUGGCUUCUUCACACAUCUAGGGUGUUCUUGAAGCAAUCCGGAUCAGCUGUGCUGGAUAUCCGACUCGAAGAACAUUUUAUGAAUUUCUCCUUCGAUUUGGUCUUCUUGCCCCAGAUGUUUUGGAAGGAAAGUAAGCCUUUGUAAAUCUGUAAAAUGAAUUUUGAAUUAUCUCUAAAUUACGUGGUGUUGUAUGUAUAUGAGCUUAAUAUUUUAACGCACCUGCUUUUGAUCUUUGUAAAUCUGGAUAGCUGUGAUGACAAGAUUGCUUGCCAAAAGAUUCUGGACAAAAUCGGAUUGAAAGGUUACCAGGUAAGACCAUUGUUACCAGAUGUUUUUUGUUUUCUUUUUUAUGAUGUUCAAUUACUACUCUACAGGGACAGCUUUUGGAUUAACUUAGUAAGCUGAGUAUGUCAAAGAAUGUAACAUAGAAAAUUCUCUUUAGACAUUUAUAAGAAUGGGCAGAAUCUAUGAGGAAAAAGAACUGCAUUACAUCUUCUCUUAGUUAUACACUAAAGGCUACUGAUGUUUUGGGUCCCUUUCUCCUUAAAAAUAUAGAGAAUAACAAAUUUUCUCCAUUGAAAAUGCUUUUUCUUAUCAACCUACAUCUUUUAAUUUGUUCUACUCAAAUUCAUUGAGAAUUUUUAUUUGAGCAUGUCUUUUCUCACAUUGUGUAUCACCGUCAUGGGCAGCUAGGCAAGAGCAAAGUGUUUCUGAGGGCUGGCCAGAUGGCUGAACUGGAUGCUAGACGAGCAGAGGUACUUGGAAGAGCAGCUAGAACAAUUCAGAGGCAAAUCCGUACAUAUAUUGCUCGUAAAGAUUUCCUUAAACUACGGAAAGCAGCUAUUCAUCUGCAGUCUUUAUGGAGAGGUAUGGUUGAGAUAUUAUAAGAUUGGUACAUCUUUUCCUUAUCAUAAGAAAGGUUACCCUAAGACUAAGUUGUGCUUGUUCUUUCUUUCAAUUGGAUGUGCUAUCAUUCAUUUGGAAGUCCUGUGAUCUAGUUAUUAAGUCUGAAUCGUUUGGAUUUUGAUUUUUCUCUUGUGCAUCAGUAAAAAAAGUCUUUAUUUGUGUUCUCAAUUUGGUUAAAUUCAGGGAGAUUGGCCUGUAAGCUUUAUGAGUAUAUGAGACGUGAAGCAGCAGCAGUCAAAAUUCAAAAGAAUCUGCGUCAAUAUUUUGCAAGGAAAUUGUAUACAACACUUCGAUCAUCAGCAAUUAUUUUGCAAACAGGCUUAAGGGCAAUGACUGCACGCGAUGACUUUAGAUUUAAAAGGCAAACUAAAGCUUCAAUUUGUAUUCAGGUGUCUUAUUCUCUCUUUGCUGGAAACAGCUUCUAAAACUUUAGCUACAUGGUUUUAUGUUGUUCUGAAAGAGAAUCUAUAAUACAUCACUUCAUAAAUGAGCUGGCAUGUAUGUUUUUUAAUUUCUUAAUCUACCAAUUGUUCAUUUGGACUAUGAUUUAAACAUAUUUUGUCCUUUGCUUCAGGCUCGGUGGCAUUGUCACCGAGAUUAUUCUUACUACAAGAGAUUGCAGAAGGCAACGCUUACUUAUCAGUGUGCUUGGAGACAAAGGCUUGCAAGAAAAGAGCUUAGAAAGCUAAGAAUGGUCUCUUCUUAACUCUGGAUUUCUGAAUUUCUCCAAAUAAAAUGAAGCUUAUACAUAACCUAGUUGUUAACUCAAAUUUCUGCAGGCUGCUAGGGAAACAGGAGCCCUAAAAGAAGCGAAAGACAAGCUUGAAAAGCGUGUGGAGGACUUGACAUGGCGUUUGCAGCUUGAGAAACGACUAAGAGUAAUAAUCCUUUCUAAAUAAUUCUCCAUGCGAUACGUUGGCACUUUAUCUAUUCUUCUGUUUAGUAUUCUGUGCUUGUUGAUGAGUUGCGAGAUAACCUGCUUGACUCCAAUAUGCAGACUGAUCUGGAGGAGACAAAGGCACAAGAAAUUGCUAAACUACAAGAGAUGUUGCAUGAGACGCAACUGCAGGUAGAAGAAUCAAAGUCCAUGGUUAUCAAGGAACGUGAGGCUGCACGCAAGGCUAUCGAGGAAGCACCUCCUGUCAUAAAGGAAACCCCUGUUUUGGUUCAAGAUACAGAAAAGAUCAAUGCAUUAACUGCUGAAAUUGAAAACCUGAAGGUAGGACCAACAAACUCAUUCAGACAUUAGAUCUCUCUCUAUAUAUGGUGUCCUGGGUUCUGAAUCAGGACCAUGUGCAUUAGGAGCGAGAAAAGACAGGAAAACCAGGAAUUGUAGACAUUUGUAUGCUGAUUAAUGAGAACCUCUAUUGUAUUUACCAUUAUAGUACGUUAUGUUCUACAAAUUACCUGUGUUUAAAUUAGAUGCCUGCUAAAUGAAUUACUUUGUUGUUCACUCUGAAUUAUGUAGUAAUUUUGUUUUUAUUCUCUUAUUAUCAUGACAGGCUUUAAUGCAAACAGAAAAGCAGGCAACUGAUGCAGCCAAUAAAUCAUUGGCUGAAGCUCAGGAAAGAAAUAAUGAACUACUCAAGAAAGUUGAAGAUUCUGAGGCAAGAGCUGAGCAACUUCAAGACACUGUUCAAAGGUUUCUGAUUUAGUGAUCUUUUUUUUUGGGGGGUUUUAUCUCCAGCAAUUUAGGUAUCAUUUUGGAUAAAUGUAGAUGGAAUGCAUGAGAAUUUUAAAAUUUUAUGUUAUAAAUACUAUAAGAAGCUAAAACCAGUUACCAGUCAUAUGUCCUGAAGAUUUGCUUCAAUAACAUGAGGUAAUAGUUGUAUCUUCUUUCCGAGCACAGGCUUGAAGAGAAAGUAUCAAACUUGGAGUCAGAAAAUCAAGUACUACGUCAACAGGCAGUUGCCAUUUCACCAACCACCAGAGCAUUAACUACACGCCCAAAAACAACUAUCAUCCAGGUGCCUUUCAUCCUUAAUGCUUAUACUGUUGUUUUGUUUAGUGUAUAUGGAUGUCUUGCUUAUGCUAUCAUAUUAUUGUGCCUUUGUUACAGAGAAGCACAGAAAAUGGGAAUAUUCUGAAUGGUGAAUCAAAACUUGCUUUGGUAAGCAUAAUAAUUGAAUUCUAAUGAGCAUUCGGCUUCUGUGAUAUCGAAUGUCAUUCCCGAAAAAGAUAGGUAAAUUAACCUGGAUGAUUCUCCUUACAUAAAAACUGUAGGAUCUUAGUCCUGGUAUACCUAGUUCCAAGGAGCUCCAAAAUGAUGAUAAACCACAGAAGUCACUCAAUGAAAAGCAGCAGGUAUAAUUUUAGUUAAUUUUUAAAUAGAAGCCAUUCAGUAAAGAUGCUUUAAUAUUUGUGCAUCUUGUUGAUAUUGAAUUUUGUCACAACUUCUUGUUCGAUCAUGCUGAUUACAUCCAUCUAUUUUUUCACAAUGCUGUUUUCCAGGAGAACCAGGACUUGCUUAUUGAAUGCAUCUCUAAGGACCUAGGAUUCUCUCAGGGUAGGCCUAUUGCUGCUUGUCUCAUCUACAGAUGCCUUCUUCACUGGAGAUCCUUCGAAGUUGAAAGAACUAGUAUUUUUGACCGUAUAAUCCAAGCAAUAGGCUCAGCUAUUGAGGUAUGAAAAACCUUUUUAAUUGUUGCUGGGACUUUAUUGUGUUUCGUCAUAUGUGAAUAAGGAAUUUAAUGCAUUUACAAUUUUGUGUUAGAUUUGUGACCACUCUAUGCAACCUCAACAAUCUUUCAUGUUUACCUAACCCAUAUUAGUGAAACUGCUACAUGAUCUUAUUCAUAGUUCCGUGCCUGUUUUUUAUUUAACUAAAAUUUCAACUUGCAUAUCUGAAAGGCCCAGGAUAACACUGAUGUCUUAUCCUACUGGUUGUCCAAUUCAUCUACUUUAUUGUUACUUCUCCAACGGACACUAAAAGCAAGUGGAACCGCAAGUUUGACUUCACAGAGGCGUCGAGCAUCAGCUUUGUUUGGGAGGAUGUCUCAAGUAAGGCAGCAGAACCUUUUUCCCAGAAGAAGAUGAUGAGUGUUUUCACUAUGGUUUCCUUCUAAUUUUUCGUUGUUUAAUGUGUUUUUAUUAAUUUCCCUGCAUUUUAAGGGGAUUCGAACUUCUCCUCAAAGUGCUGGGCUCUUUUCUUUUAAUGGCCGCAUGAUGGGUGGAUUGAGUGAUUUGCGUCAAGUUGAAGCAAAAUAUCCUGCUCUGCUUUUCAAGCAGCAGCUUACUGCUUUUCUCGAGAAAAUUUAUGGAAUGAUCAGAGACAAUCUAAAAAAAGAAAUAUCUUCACUGCUUGCCUUGUGUAUCCAGGUAUGAAGAAACUUUUCAUAUAUUUGUGCUUGAAAUUUUGUUAAUAUUGCUAACCAUGCAGGCACCAAGAACAUCUCGUGCAAGCUUAUUGAAAGGGUCACGAUCUCAAGCAAAUGCUAUGGCCCAGCAGGCACGAAUCGCGCAUUGGCAGAGUAUUGUGAAAAGCUUAACCGACUACUUGAAAAUACUGAAAGCCAAUUAUGUAAGUUUUGUAGUGGCAAUCUAUUUAAUUUCAUAAAUGUUUAGCAAAACUUUUGGUCCUUAUCCUUUUUUCACCACUCAGGUCCCUCCAUUUUUAGUCCGCAAGGUGUUCACCCAAAUCUUUUCGUUUAUAAAUGUUCAACUGUUUAACAGGUACGUCAAGUUUAAAUGUAAAUUCCAUGCCACUAUUUUUGUAGUCAUGUGAACUUUCUUAUUGAAAAGAAUAAUUUCCUUUUUGUGCUCUUUAUAUAGCCUUCUGUUGAGGCGUGAGUGCUGUUCAUUUAGCAAUGGGGAAUAUCUCAAAGCAGGAUUGACUGAGUUAGAACACUGGUGCUAUGAUGCAACCGAAGAGGUGGAAUCCUUUGAUCUCAGUCAACUUUUAUCAAGGCAUUGAACUAAAAUAUCAUUUGCACACAGUAUGCAGGUUCUGCCUGGGAUGAGUUGAAGCAUAUUAGGCAGGCUGUUGGUUUCUUGGUAUGUUGUCUUUUAUGAAGAACACAGCUGUUGACAGCUAUUGAAGAAGGUUCAAUAUUUUUAAUUUUUAAUUUUUGAGAAACAUCACACAAUAUAUUCAUUGAUCCAGGUUAUACAUCAGAAGCCGAAGAAGACCUUGAAGGAGAUAACCAAUGAUUUAUGUCCAGUUUGGGCCACUACUUUGACCUGUUAUUAUGUUAAAAACAUGGAGUCAUUUAGUUAUCAUACCCAUUUUGAACUGUUAUCUGAUUCUGUUUUCAGGUGCUUAGCAUACAACAGUUAUACAGAAUCAGUACGAUGUACUGGGAUGACAAAUAUGGAACACACAGUGUAUCGUCGGAGGUAAGUUUUGAAUUCAGUUUAUUGAUGUGGUCAGACUAUCAUCUAAACAUUUAUAUCCUACUUUUUAGGUCAUUUCAAGUAUGAGAGUUAUGAUGACAGAGGAUUCAAAUAGUGCAGUUGGCAGUUCGUUCUUGUUGGAUGAUGAUUCCAGGUCAUUUUUUAAUAAACAUGUUUAAGUUCUUUGUGUUUUUUUUUUAUAUUUUGGGGGCGCGAGUGGGUGACGGUGGUUCAGGAAUAGGAAAAUCUAAGCUGGAUUUAUUCUUCAUCAAUUUGUCGAUGCAGCAUACCUUUCUCUGUGGAUGAUAUUUCCAAGUCAAUGACCGAGAUAGAGAUAGCAGAUGUUGAUCCGCCACCUCUGAUUCGUCAGAAUUCAGGCUUUGCUUUUUUGCUACAGAGAAAGGAAUAGUAAUUCUCAUCGCCAAGUGUUCCAGUUCUCAACCAUUCAGCAAGAUGUGCAUACUCAUCUCGUAAAUAUGAUGUUAUUCUACUCGUGCCAAAUUGGCUGGUGUACCAAGGGUAGAUGAUAGAUUAUCAUUUUAGUAUUUGUGUUUGAUUUGUUGAUUUGUUUUUGUGAAUUUAUUUUUUCCAGUUGUAUUUAUUGGUGAAUAGCUCUGGGCUGCUAUUGGGAAUGCUCAGUGUCUAUUAUUAGGUAGUACGAGGGUGCUGCAUCAACAAACAUUUAGAAGUUGCAUUCGUCUAUGCUCUGUUGGUAAUGUAGUUGGCAAUUGAAGCAACAAUAGAAACAUUCAAAAGGUUAAUCUUUUGUUGUAUGUUGAAGGUCUUGUAGAUGCAAUUAUGCCUAGUCUUUACAACACUAGCAAUUUCUUAACUGUGGUAUAUACUCAAUUGUGACUAAAGGGAGGAGGUGGAGGAAGAAGUUGAGAGGAGAGGAAGGGAAGGGAGGAGAGAAGAAGAGCUGGUGGAGGGGCGACGCACUGAACCGGUUCAGAAUAUAUAUAUAUAUAUAUAUAUAUAUAUAUAUAUAUAUAUAUAUAUAUAUAUAUAUAUAUAUAUAUAUAUAUAAGAUUUGAAUAGGGGGAUGAAACUGAAUUUUUUUUAUUAAAAAAGUAUCAUGGAUAAGUUUUCAAUGUGGAUGCCAAGUCAAUUAGUAGGAUUUUUUAAAAAUUAUAUAUAUAAAUUGCUCUUACGUGGUAAACAAAAGCUUUCAAUACAUAAUUCGUUUCAGUGAACAGCCGCAUAUGGUUAAUGUCCCUUCAACGAAGGAGGAGUAAUUGCUGGCCCAUUCGAAAAUAUACUGACAAAUUGAAAAGAAAAUAUAAUUUGUAUUCUCUAUCCGGAUAUCCUUAUAGCCUGUAGUCGAAUAAAAAAAAGGUGUGAGUAAAUGUAUUAUUAUGAGACGAUUUAGAACCUAUUGUAUUUAAAAUUAUAUUUUAAAUACACAUUGGCAAAAUUGUAGGUCAAAAAGUCCAUUGAAUAUUUUGUGAUAAAUUUAUCCUUCUAAUUUUUAAAUAUUUAUUUUGAAAUAAAUAUAUUUUUGUUUAAAUAAAUAAAAUUUAUAAAAAAAAUUGUAUGGCCCGAAUAUAUAAUAAAUAAAAAUAAAAUCAUGUAAAUAAAUAUACAAUAAUAUUUUAAAAUAAAUAAUUAAAAUAUAAUCUUAUAGAAAAUAUAAGUCAGGUUGAUUUUUCACUAAAUCAUCAUGGCAAUCUUGUAAUUUUACUCAAAGUCAUAGGUACUUAUGAAAUUUAAAAAUUAUAUUAGCAUCUCGUAAAUGUUGAAGUGCUAAUAUUACUAUGAGAUAUCAUUUGAGCAUUUUAAAUGUAACAUGAGAUUUGAAAAAAAAUUAUUAGGUUUUAAACACAAAUUUCAAAUGUGUUAUGCAACCAUAAUGUAUAUGAUGUCUCAACAACUUUGUAUUAAAAAAAAACAUGAGGAAAAAGGUUAUCGAUAUGAAUGUAAUAGAUAUCCGUCGUCAACAAAUAUAUCUGAGUAUUGUGAUGAUAUCUCUAACAACUCUGUAUGCAAUAGAUAUACGGAAAACAAGACGAUAGUAAUAAUGAAAAAAUUAGAAGAGGCUACUAGAAUGAACCAAUGAAUAUGCCUAUAGAAUAUGAUAAUGUUUCAACAACUCUGUACUUAAAUGAUAUGUUCAACAAUCAACACUAACAAAAAAAAAAAGCCACUUGAAAGACAUGAAAAACACUAUUGUUAGGGGUUUUUAUUUUUUUCCAAGGAAAACAAAAAAAACCGUGUGGAUAUGAAUGUAAUCAAUAUCUGUCAUCAACAAGAUAUACCUACCUAUUGUGAUGAUGUCUCAAUAACUCUGUAUGCAAAAGAUACGAGGAAAAGAAGUAGAUAAGAAUAGUGAAACAUAUAGAAAGUGAUGAUGUUUCAACAACUCUGUACUUUAAAGAUGUGUUCAACAAAUCAACGCUAAUAAAGGAAGCUAUGUGAAAGAUGUGGAAAACACUUUUGUUAGGGGGAUCUUUUUUAGGAAAAAAAAAAUAUUUGGAUAUGAAUGUAAUUGGUAUCUAUUGUCAACCUACCUAUUGUGAUGAUGUCUUAACAACUAUGCACGCAAAAAACAUGAGGAAAACAAGUUGGCAGUAAUAUUGGAAAAAAUAGAAGAGGAACUCAUAAUGAUUGUAAUUGAUAUCUAUCAUCCGAUAGAUAUGUAUAUAUAAUAUAAUAUCUUUCUAAUAAUUCUAUACUUAAAAGAUAUGUUCAACGAAUCAAUACUUCCAAAAGAAGCUAUGUGAAAGACGUAAAAAACACAAUUAUUAGGGGGGUGUUUUUUUCUUAAGGAAACAAACAAAUUUGUGAAUAUGAAUGUAAUCGGUAUCCAUUGUCAAUAGAUAUACCUACCUCUUAUGAUAAUGUCUCAAAUAGCUCUGGACGCAAAAGGCAUGAGUAGUACAAGUCAACAAUAAUAGUGGAAAAAUUAGAAGAGAACACUAGAAUAGAUGUAAUGAUGUCUCGACAACUUUGUACUUCAAAGGCGGCAUGUGGAACAAAUCAACAUUGACAAGAGAAGCUACGUGAAAGACGUGGAAAACACUAUUGUUAGGGGAUGUGUUUUUUUUUCCCUAGGCAAAAGAGAAAAAAAAAAGAUGAGAAUAUGAAUGUAAUCAGUAUCAAUUAUGAUAUAUACCUAUUGAAUAUGAUGGUAUAUCAAUAACUCUGUGCUUAAUAGACAUGUUGAACAAAUCAACACUAACAAAAUAAGCUAUGUGAACGAUGUGGAAAACACUAUUGUUAGGGUAGUUUUUUUUUUUUGUAGGAAAAAAAAGUGUGGGUAUGAAUUUAAUCGUAUCCGUCAUCAACAGAUAUACCUACAUAUUGUGAUAAUAUCUUAAUAAUUAUGUACGCAAAAGAUAUGAGAAAUAUAAGUUGAUAGUAAGAGUGAAAAAUUUAGAAGAGGACACCCGAAUGAAUGUAAUCGAUAUUCGUCAUCCAAAAGAUAUGCCUAUAGAAUGUGAUGAUAUCUCAACAACUCUGUACUUAGAAAGCAUAUGGAACAAAUCAAUACUAACAAAAAAGGGCUACAUAAAAGACUUGAAAAACAAUAUUGUUAGGGGAGUGUUUUUCUUUUUUCUCAAGGAAAAAGAAAAAAAAAGUAUGGAUAUAAAUGUAAUCGGUAUCCGUUGUUAAUAAAUAUACCAACCUAUUGUGAUGAUGUCUCAAUAACUCCAUACGCAAAAGACAUGAGAAAAACAAGUCUAUUAAUAGUGGAAAAAUUAGAAGAGGAUACCAGAAUGAACGCAAUUGUAGAAUAGAUUUCAUUCAUUAUGAAAGGUAUUGAUUUCAUUCAUCGAGAUAAUAUAUAUUUAUAUAAGUUUUGAGGAAUAGAUUUCUCUCGAUCAUUUACUUAAAUUACCUAAUCAAAUCAAUUACUUAAAUCUGAUCCUCAUGUCAUUGAGGAUGUAAGGAAUGCAACAUGUCAUUCCAUGUUUGUGUUCAUCAUGAUCUUCUAUCAAUGUUAUCUCAAACAAUUUUGUACUUAAACAAAUCAAUAUUAACAAAAGAAGUUACGUGAAAAACGUGAAAAAUACUCUUGUUAGAGAAGUGUACUUAAAAGACACAUUUAACAAAUUAACACUUCCAAAAGAAAUUAUAUGAAAUAUGUAGAAAACAUUGUUAGGGGGUGUUUUUCUUUCGCAAGAUAAAUAAAAAGGGUAUGGAUAUGAAUAUAAUCAGUAUCCAUCGUUGAGAGAUAUAUCUAUCUAUUGUGAUAAUAUUUCAACAACUCUAUAUGCAAAAAAUAUGAAGAAAAUAAGUCAACAUUAAUAGUGAAAAAAUUAAAAAAAGGACAUCAGCAUAAAUGUAAUCGAUAUCCAUUGUCCAAUAUAUAUGCUUACAAAAUGUGAUGAUGUGUCAACAACUAUGUACUUAAAAGAAGUGUUCAACAAAUCAAUUCUAACAAAAACGCCACAUGAAUGAUGUAGAAAUCACUAGUGCUAGGGUUUUUUUUCUAAAAAAAAAAAUGGAUAUGAAUGUAAUGUCUUAAUAAUCCGUUCCCAAUAGAUGUACUUAUGAUAAUGUCUUAAUAAUCCUUAAUGCAAAAGAUAUGAGAAAAAUAUAUCAAUGAUAAUAAUAAUAAUUAAAAAUUAUUUAAAAGAGUGUAAUCAGUGGAAAAUAUUAUUUUCAGAGGUGUUUUUUUUUCAAAAAAAUAUAUAAAGUAUGGAUAAUGAAUGUCUCAGCAAUGAUGUGUCAACACACUUUGUCUGAGCCAUGACACGUUAAGCAAUGGAACGUGCUGCAAACAUGUGAACGGGUCACCUGUGAAGUAGGCCCACUAGGCCCCCAAACACACACACACACACAUAUGUGAACGGGUCACCUGUGAAGUAGGCCCCCCCCCACCACACACACAUAUCUCGUCGUCAAGAGUCGCUCUAUCUCAUCGCCAACCGUCUUUUGUCAGUCAAGUGCGAGCUUUCGGGGUCACUGCUUCAUCGGUCGUGCUUGGGGACUGAUGUUCAGGCGGUGUUGUGCGAUCGCUUGGUCGAUCCCGGGCAUGUCCGUUGGUGACCAUGCGAAGAUGUUAGCAUUUUCAACAAGUAGGUUGAUGAGCCACUCUCUUUCCUCCUUCGGUAGCCUCGACCCAACCCUAACGACCCUAUCUGGUCGAUCGUGACAUAGAGGGACUUCUUAGGUAUGCUCAGUCGGUUCGGGUCAUUGUGUUGGCUUGGUGACGUCCCGAGAGUCGGCAAUGGGAUGCUCGUGUCAUGGCUUCUUGGGUAGUGUGACCGUCGCUAGGUAACAUUGUCGGGAUUCCCGAGGAUUGCCCCUUGCUUCUCCUACCCCUGCUUGGGUCGAAAAUUUUAUCGCGCGGGGGUAUGUGGAGAUGACCACUCUGAGCUUGUUCAGGGUUGGUCAGCCUAGGAUGGUGUUGUAGGGUGAAGGGAGUUCCACCACCAUAAAGAUUACUAUGAUCAUCUUGACUCGUGGGUCGUCGCCCAAGGUGAUUGGCAGGACGGUCGUGUCGAGGGAUGAAAUGGAGUCGCUUGUAAAUUCGGUAAGCGUCGAUUGACUUGGGGCGAGGUCUUCCUUGGUUAGGUUGAGUUUCCGGAAGGUGUCGAAGUAUAGGAUAUCGACGGAGCUCCCGGUGUCCACCAUGAUCCUUUUAACCCGAGCAUUGGCGAUCAUGGCCAAGAUGACUAGCGCGUCGUCAUGCUCCGGGUGUUCAAUUUCUCCUGUUGGGAAGGUGAUAUGGGGCAGUUAGGCUUGUCGCGGGCAUUUUUCAGUGGCCACUCGGGCAUAAGCCUUUCGCCCUGUCAUGCUAUCUCCCUCUGAUGCCAGACCCUCACUGAUCACAUCAAUCUGCUUCUCGACCGGACCGGAGGGAGGGGGAGACAUUUCGCGUGGCCUCUUAAUCUAGUGACCUAAGUGCCCCCAGCGUAUGAGUUCUUCAAUUUGAUUCUUGAGGUCACGUCGGUGUCGUGUCCAUAAUCGUUAUGAAACCUACAGUUCUUUAAAUGGUCCCUGAGCUCAUGCGGUGCCUUCAUCGAGUUUGGGGCCUUCAGGAGUCCCUUCUCCCUGAUCUGCAGGAAUAUCUCGGUCCUGGAGGACUUUAAAGGCGGGAGUGGGGGCCUCAGGAGUGUUGCAUUGGGUCAGUCGAUUCUCCUUCUUGGCGGUACCGGGGGCUGCCCUUAGGUUGGUUCUGGUCGCAGCCUCUUAUUCUCUUCGCACUUUCCCACCACCAAUGCUUCGGCAGCCACGUAUUGGUUAGCAUGUUGAAGCAUUUCGGGGAUGGUCGUAGGAGGUCACUUGACCAGCGACCAGAAGAACCUGGAAGGUCGGAGUCCCAUUAGAAAGGCCUGCAUUAUCAAAGAAGGGUGAUCGUCGAGCAACCCCCGGAUUUUAGUAGCAAAGCAUGUCAUAAAAUGAGAAAGUGGCUCGUCGUCCUUUUGGCUGAGGCCGAGGAGCAGAGCUACGGACGACCUCGGUCACACACUGGCUAGGAAGUUGAGCUCGAACUCUUUGGCCAAUCGGUCGAAAGAGGCGAUCGAGGCCGGUCUGAGUCGGUUUUACCACAUCCAAGCUGGGCCUCAAAGCAAGGUGGGGAAUGCUCUACACAUGAGGGCGUCAAAAGUACCGUAUAGGGCCAUCUGGGCUUGAAAGGUGGCGACAUGUUUCGUUGGAUCAAAGCUGCCAUCAUAGGCUUCGAGAAUAGGAAGACAAAAGCUUGGAGAGACUGGCUUGUCCUGAACCUCGAGUAUGAAAGGCAAUCCCCCUGAAGAGGCCUCGUUGAGCUCCUUCUUGGAUAUACAAAACUCUUAUUGAACCUCGUCCAGGCGCCGAUUUAUCGAGUGCAGUUGUGCCUGGAGGGAGUCCGCCAAGUUAGACGAUAGUGUGUCUGGCUCGGGGCUGCCGGUGUGGGGGUGUUGAAGGCUUCAUGCGUCAUGCGUGGGCGUCAGCCGUCGUUCGGGUGACGCGGCGAUGUUCGUCAUCACGAGCUGUCAAGGAGCGAGGGGUGGUGUAGGAGAGGGUGGAGGCUGCACGGGAGCUAGGGGUGGCAAUUUCCCUUGUGGCGUCGACAGGAGCAUUGGGGGUUGUUCAGGAGGCAAGACGAGGGGAACAAUGGUUUGCAUCAUCCCCGUCGGGACUUGAACUUAGUGCGUCAGGCUGAGGAAUGCCUCAGCGGAGAUGGAAGGUUGAGCGGCAACCACUCCCGGGGGUGAUAACCCCGGGUUAGUGAACAGUCGCCAAUAGCACCUCGGGGUCUCUAUGGAGUCGUUGGCCUCCUGCUCGAGGGGGAGGCGGGUGUUGCUCCCCUAACCCAGGGGUUGAGUGGGUCGGGAGGCGCUCGCUACCCAAGUGUUCGGUCGUGUUGCCAGGUUGAGGUUGAUCCUGCAUCAUUGGGCCCUCCUAGCGCCAAAAUGAUAGUGAUCCUUUACACCAUGGUAGAGGGAGUCAGCACAGCUUGGUUCGGUCCUAGGUGUGCAAGAUCAUCCACAUUGGUGUUUGGUUGACGAGGAUCGAAGUCUGGUGAGGUCAGGCUUGGGCUUUGGCUCCAAAGUCGGGAAACUCCCUUUGGCUGACCGCUUGCCUCUUUAUCACCGGUCCCUGCACACAGGUCAGGGUUGAGAAGGGGGCUCUCGAUUUCGACCCCUCCGAAGUUGUUAGAAUUGAGUGAAAAAUCAGCGAGAGAUCACUUGUUGUCAGCCCCACGAGGGGUUCUUAUCCUUCCACCAAAGGGCCAACCGUACCUAUCAUAUUUAUGAUUGUCAGUGUUGUACUUGGUCGGCAUCAUCCUGACUCCUACGGAAUGGCACGGUACUCGGUCGAUGCUGUCCUGGCCUUUGUGGGACGGCGCUGUACUUGGUCGGCGUCGAUCUGGCCUUUACAGGACGACACUGCCACGACUCUUACGGGACGACGGGGACGGCGCUAUACUCGGUCGGCACCGUCCCGGCCUCGGGACAGCACUAUGCUCGAUCAAUGUCGUCCCGACUCUUGCGAGACGACAUGGUACUCGGUUGGCAUCGCCCGACCUUUGCGGAAUCGACGUUGACCGGGGGGUACAAUCUAAUGUGUUGACCUUGAUGUUGAUGUGGCUAUGGAUAGUGGUUGGAGGACAGGUUACCAAAAUAUGUGCUAUAAUAGUACAAUGAGAAGAUAACACAAUUAUGCCCUGUUAUUCAUCAGAGUCUAUUUCGGCAAGCAGCUUCAAUUAUUGGAAAUCCCAUUCCACGGUAAUGACGCAUGGGGUUAUCUUAAGGAUUUUUGUUAAAACUUAAUAUGAAUCUUUCACACAUCAUCUUUAAUUUUUAAUAUUUAAAUUUAGAUCUCUACAUUAUAAAUAGAUCCUUAAGAAAAAAAAAAGAGAGAUGUUACGACAGGUGCGGACGAUUGAGAAAACAUAAAUGCUAACUAAUAUUUAUGUUUUUCCCACCCUCCUAUUCUAUUAAAAGUUUAAACGUAUUUUAGUUUAAAACAUUUUAAAUUAAGAUAUUAAAAAACAUUUAUAUCUUAAUUAAAUUAAGAAAUAUAUCUCUAGUAAACACUUUUAAAUAAAAUUAUUUGUGCAAAAACAUUUUUUUAAUAAAAAAUGUUGAGCGGUUUUAAAAUCGAAUCAGACAAUUCAAUUUUAAUUUGUCGAGCGAUUUUUAGAGAUUCAACUCUUAAAUUUUAAUUCAAUAGACUUGUUAAAUUAAUUAUUUCAAAAAAUAUUUUUGUUAUUAGGAUAGAAGUUUUUUCUCCACCUUCGGAAUGUUUGAAGGGUUCGAAUAACCCGAUGCACAGAAUGUCAAUAGAUGUAACCAACAAUAAAUUUUAACUAACUAAUUUAGUUAACAAAAAUUAACUAAAAAUGAUUUAGAUCAUGGAAUCGAAAUAAAUCAGUACUUCAAAAACAUGUUGAACAAAUCAAUGCUAACAAAAGAAAUAAGCUAUGCGAAAGACGUAAAAAAAAUUUAUUAUUAGAUGGGUGUUUUUUUUUCCAAAGAAAAAAAAUAAAAAACUUGUGAAUAUGAAUAUAAUCGGUAUCUAUCGUCGUCAACAGAUAUAUCUAUCUACGUAUUGUGAUAAUAUCUUAAUAACUAUGUAUAUAAAAGACAUGAAAAAACAAAUCGAUAAUAAUAAUUAAAAAGUUAGAAGAGGAUAUCAGAAUAAAAAUAAUCGAUAUUAAUGGUCUAACAGAUGUACCUACAUAAUAUGAUUAUGUCUCAAUAAUUCUCUACUUAAAAGAUAUCAAAUCAAUACUUGUAAAAAAAAAAAAACUAUGUGAAAGACAUCAAAAAAAAUAAUAUAUUGUUUUUUAAAGUAAAAGAAGAUAAAGAUUGAAUAUGAAUGUCUCAACCACUCUGUACGAGCCAUCACACAUUAAUCAAUGGAACGAGCUGUAGACUUGUGAAACACAAGUCGACAGUAAUAAAAGAUAACGUGGAAAACGACUACGCCGGGGAACCACCCAAAAACCCCAAUAGAGUCCGAUGAGAUGGCAUGCUGCUCUGUCAUUCACUAUCCUAGUGGAAUCCAUUAUCAAUAGCCCGUCCGGAACAGGUGGCCUGUGAAGUAGACCUCCAGAAAAAGAAAACAUAGUACGAUGAUGAGAUGACACAAUGGUGCUCUAUUAUUAUUGGUCAGACUCUAUUUCGACGACCCCGGUGGGAUCGAAUAUCUAAAGCUGUCGCCGUGCCCGUACUAAUCUCAGAAGAAAAUAAUUUUCUAUGUAAUUUUUCAUAUAUUAGUAACGUAUAUUGUAUAUACAUAUACGGAUUCCUGUUUCUUCUGUGUAAUUUGUGUUUUAUUUUCUAACAUGAAAAAGACAAACUAUCAAAAUGUUUUCUAAGACGAAAUCACAUCAUCAUGCCUAAUUAAUACUGUGGGGGCCCGUGAAUAAGAAAAUGAAGAAACAAAGUUACCUGCGGCAUUGAUUCCAUUAAACACGUGGUGAGCUCUGCAUUCAUCGGCAAGCAGCUUCAAUUAUUGGGAAUCCCUGUAUGGGCCUUCAUGUUCGUGCUACCAUCUCCUUGUAUAUAUAUGUCACUGGGCACCUCACCGUCUUCCACACAAAGUAUCAGUUACUCCUAUCCUCCUCCUCCUCCUCUUCCAAUGGCGCAAAAGAUUGGCGCGGAUACACCAUCCUGGCCUGAGCUCCUCGGAUCCGAGCACUGGUCCGGCCUUCUCGACCCUCUCGACCAAUCCCUUCGCGUCUUCCUCCUCCAAUGCGGUGACAUGUGUCAGGUCACCGCCGACUCCUUCAUCAGCGACGACCACUCCAAUUACCGUGGCAUGUGCCGCUACCGCCCCAGCACCCUCCUCGACGAUGUGUUCUUCCCCUACGCGGCCAACUACGACGUCAAGGAGUACCUCUACGCCAUGUCGAUUAAUUGGUCAAACUUCACCGAGGAGUCUAAUUGGAUGGGCUACAUCGCCGUCUCCAAGGACGCAUACACGAAGCGUACCGGGCGCCGCGAGAUCUACGUCGUAUGGCGCGGCACGAUGCGGCCGUCGGAGUUCAUCGAGGGCUUAGUGAUCAGUCUCGUGCCCUUCGACCCCGACAACCAAGAUGUGCAAGAUGUGAAGGUCGUGAACGGCUGGAACGACAUCUACACGUUGAAAGACAGCGGUUCGCAAUUUCCAUGCAACGCAACCAGUGCAAGGGAGCAGUUACUGAGUAAGUUAAGCGAGCUAGUGAAGCUAUACAAGAACGAGAGCCUUAGCAUAGUGUGCGUUGGCCACAGCUUGGGAGGCGCCCUCGCCAUCUUGAGUUCUUUCGAUAUAGUGAACAAAGGACUGUCCAAGAUAGAAGGCAAGGAGGAGCACUUCCCAGUAUGUGCCGUGGUGUUUGAGAACCCCAAAGUUGGGAACAAGGCCUUCAAUGAAAGGUUUGAGAAGCUGCCCAACCUUCGAGCUCUACGUGUCCGGAAUACUUGGGACAUCGUUCCAUAUUGGCCACUUCCAACCGACUACGUUGUCACCGGCUCAGUUCUGGACAUAGACUCCAAGCUGUCGCCCUACUUGAAAGUUCUGGACAUAGACUUCAAGACGUCGACCAUCUUGAAAAUCCUUGCGAGUAACCACGACCUGCAAGUGGUCCUCCACACGGUGGCCGGGUGGACCUGGAAGGACGUCGAGUUCCACUUGAAGGUGGAGAGGAGCCUGGCGCUAGUGAACAAGCAGGGCGGCUACUUGAAGGAUGAGUUGCAGAUACCCGAGGCGUGGUGGGUGGAGAAGAACAAAGGAAUGGUACCGGACAAGGAUGGAGAGUGGUCCGAGACACCUGGAUGGAACUGCAAGUCAUCCAGUAAUGGCCACCAGCUCUAAGGAUCCAAUGCCUGCCUGCCUAUCUACCCUAAAUAAAGUUGUCACUCCCUGCUCUCACUCUAUCUCUUUGUGUCGUCACGGGGACGGGGGAGGGAGAUGACAAGAAGAACUAGUGCAGGCCUGCAUGCAGCAGUCACGAACGUACGCUUCAAACUUGUGUGGUGAUCGGUUUCUACUAGGUGUGUGUAAUUGGGUCAGUAAGUGAAACGCCAGUGAAGCACUUGCUUCGCUGAAUAAUAAUAAAUAAAAAUCCUGUGGUUUGAACAUCGGCUUCACCUUCUCAUCGUCGUCGAUCACAUCCAUGGUGGUAAUACCUGCUACGAAACGAAUGAAUGGUAGCUCUCCCUUCAUCUCGUUCUACGGUGCCAUGCGAAUGGACGAAUCCAAUAUGUAGUUUAGUUGGAGGAGACGAUGACGCGACAUUAACCAGACCUUUGCGCGCGAUCGAGGACCAACUACGGCGGAAGGGAAGUGGAACGAAGACCACGAAACCCGCGACGCACGGACAAUUAAGAUGGACUCAUAAGCUAUUGGAUCCUGACAUGGAUUAUUUUGCUCGAUGCAAACAGCUCUUAGACGUCAACGUGAAUUUUAAUUCCAUCCGAGAAUUAUUUUGCUCGAUGCAAACAGCUAUUAGAUGUCAACGUGAAUUUUAAUUCAUUUUAAAACAUAUGAAAUGAUCCAUACUUGCACCCUUUUUCUUUUCCAGAAAAAGAAAGCUCCGACUUGACAUUUGGCAUGACAAGUUUCGACAACUGUCGUCUACCUUUGCGUGCGAUCUCUACGAGAUUUUAAGAAUAGAAAAACAAAACAAGAAAAAAGAAGAGCCAAACAACAACACACGAAAACAUAUCAUAUAUAGAGAUGAGGAACUAACUACAGUUGGUUAGGGUGAACAACGAGGCAGCACCCUUCAGAUCGUGUUCCUCCUGCGCAUGCUCCACCGGACUCGUCUCAUCCUUUAGCUCCGGCACUUGGGUGCUGUAACAUCAAACAAAGCCAACCUGAUGAGAUUACACGCACACACACACACACACACAGACAGAUAGGUGACCUAGCUAUUGCCUCGUCCCACGUCUCAAUCUGUCCAACCCAACCAUCGAGGCCAUUCCCGUGUUUUUUUAGAAUUCAAUUCAUGAAUAUAAACGUUUCAAGGGAAAAUAAACGAACAAACAAAUAAAUAAAUAAAUAAAAACUUUUACCUGCUGCAACGUGGAUGACCGGCCUCAUCGGCGUUAUCCUCGUCCCCUCCCAUCGACGUCUGUCUGACAUCGAACAUGUCUACCAAAGGCUUUACGUCCUCGUCCUCCACCAUGCAGUUGAAGUGCGGCUGGUGUUGUAGACUCGAUAGAUCAUUGUUAUCGUUAUUACUAUUAUUAUUGAUUAUGAUGCUUGUAUUUGGGUGGUUGUUUUGAUGAUCUCUGGUGAUGUCAUCGUCGUAGCACAAGUAAUUAUAGUAUUGCUGUUGAUCCUGCUGGUUGAUCGUAGGGAAAAUAUUACCACCAUAAAUCACGUUAUCCACAUCCUCGGACGUGGCCGUGUUAAGCAGAAGAUUAGGGUGGACCUCCAGGUCGGACGCGACAGAGGCCUGGGCAGCCUGCGCACGGCAGACGGCGAGUUGCCUCAGCACGAGGGCGAGCUCAUUGGAGUCGCGCUCGAUCUGGUACUCGAGGUCGCGGAUGAUGCGGUAGCAACCGCCGACGGGAUCGAGAGCACGCAUAUCGGACUGGUAUAUGAUGGUUUUCAUGGCUUCGGCAUGCUGGUAGGGAUCGAGGUUGCGGAUGAUUUUGAGGAUAUUGCUAACGCCGAACAGGCGGUGGGCGUUGAGGAACUUGUGCUGCUGGUUUGCCGGGAAGUAAGGGGCGAGGGUGCAGUCGGGGUUGCACUUGCGGCGUUGGUAUUUGCAGGCGGCGCAGGCCUGGGUUGCGGUGGCCUGGGAGGAGGAGGAGGUGGAGGAGGAGGAGGAGGAAAAGCGGGAGGAGGUGUUCUUGCUGCUUCCUGCUUUGGUGGUAGUUGUAUGGGAUGCAGUGCCAGCGAUCAUGAUAAGAUCGAGGGGUGGGGCGACGAAGGUGGCACAGGUCCUGGGCCUACGGCUCCGGCCGGCCUCACUCGCUCAGCGGAGGAGGAGGAGGAGGAAGAGGAAGACGAAUAUUAUUUGUUCUUGUUAUUUCUGAUACCGAUGGGAUCGGUAGUGGGCAGCAAAAGGAGCCGAGCCGCCCAUCGAUGGAAAUGCGCGGAGGAGGAAGGAAUGGCCGGGAGCGGAGAUCGGUUGGAGAGACGACCAUUUCUUCGUGACACGUCAUAAAAUACAACGCAGAGGAGAGAGAGAGGGUGUAACCUUCCUAUUUAAUUUUAAUUCGGAUCAUGUUGGACGAGACGACCAUUUCUUCGUGACUCAUCAUAAAAUACAUCGCAGAGGAGAGAGAGAGAGAGAGAGAGUACGUGUGUGUGUGUGUGACCCUUCCUACUUAAUUUUAAUUCGGAUCGUGUUGGAGGUGCACGUACCUGACUGGCUCGCCCUUUCCCUGUCCAUCAUUUGUCUCCACAAAGAAGAAACUGAGCUAGCCCAUAUCAGCAGCUAUCCAUUCCCUGUCUGAUAUCUUAUCCACAGUUAAAAGGAGCAAAGGAGCAACGAAACUGAGCCAGCCCAUAUCAGCAGCUAUCCAUUCCCUGACUGAUAUCUUAUCCACAGUUAAAAGGAGCAAAGGAGUUGCUCCUUUGCUAUCUGGAUGAUGAUUCAGAUUCGAGUCGUGAAAGCAUCCUCCCUAUACCAUUAUAUUAAAUCUUCCCAACUCCAAUGUUGAUAGGAUUCAAACAGUCAUUAGCGCAUUACAUGUAUGUAUACAUAUACACACACAUAUUUGGAAUCAAAAGAGCAGGACUUCUCGUUUAUUCUAAUCCGGCUCUAGUCUGUAAAUAAAUUUUAAGUAGUCGAAAGGUUAAUUGGAAGUUAAGCUUCGAUGUAUUAGUAGUUAACUUCACCAUCCAGAAAAUUUAUUGCGAGGUGGGUAACAAAAGCCGGCGACUUGUACUGCUGUCGUUGGGUCACCAGAUGAGAUGUGGAUUAUAUGCGGCGGCGGACGGAUCAUCCAUCCUGCCCCCUUAUUUAUAUACCACAAGAUGUGGAUCUUAAGAGUUUAGAUAUAAGUUACUCAUUUCUUUCUCGGGUUUAAAAGACAAGGGAGACGGAUUUUGAAGCUGUUGGUUGUACAUUCCUUGUGCCCUUCGGGUAUUUUUACUUUGCUCCACUGUACUUGGCGAGACUUUCCAUCGACAGAUGUUCAUGCUUUGCUUUGCUUUGCUUUGCUUGAUCCUUUUUGUUCUCAGAUAUGUCAUCAACAUCUCCCAACAACCUGCAACCGACCCAUUGAUCCAAGUUUUCACUUUCAUGGAUUCAGAGGUUUGAGAUCACUUAGUUGCAAGAAGGAAACUUCCAAGUACCAAAGGCUAACCAAAGCAAACGCAUCUUUUAUCAAGAAACGUGAAUUUGACAAGAAAUCCAUCACAGAUAGAAAUUGUAACUCGAUCAACACUCAUCUAUUACCAGUAACGUUUCAGUUGAUGGUAGCCAGCAAGAUUGUGUCUGGUACAGAAUGUAUGGUUCUCGACUCGUUUGCACGGCCAUAUUCGAGAGUUCCAAUCAAACCAGCUGCAGCUCUCGUUCCCAAAUCAAUAGGUUGAAGCCAACGGUCCUGAAGGAUAAAGAUUCUUGCUCCCAAAUCAAUUAAGUUCGUUCUGUAUUCAAUAUUUCCAUGAUAGUUGUGAAUACAUAUUAAAGCAGAUAUGAAUACAAUUGUUUAGCUGACGCUGUCACAUAUUCAUAUAUGCCAUCUGUAAGUGGUAGACAUAGUUUAACAUGCAUAUUUUUUUAUCCCGAGAGAAACUCAAAUGCAUAGUUGCUAAAGGUUCUCCGAAUGAUUAAGCCAAUCCUCAUGCCAUGGUUCCAUUGUUUAAGUGAGAGAAUAGAGCAUCAAUAUUGGAUACAAAUCCUUUAUGCAGCCGAAGGAGCCGAAGAUUUUGCUCGAGGCGGUACUCUUAGCAAAGUCUUCAUCAUGUCAUAUGCUGUAAACCCUAUGGCUACCGAAGGAACAACCUGCACACAUCAAACAAGCAAUUAUUAGUGAAUCGUUGCCAUCUAUUAACGGAUAUAAUCACCAAGUAUUUUUAAGUGAAAAAAAAAAGAUAAAUAUGGGUUUAGUGAUAAGAGCAAGUGCAGUUAUUUUUGAACGCACAAUACAAUAUUGUGUUGCACUACAAACAGUAUAUUUCUAAUAGAGGCAAUAAAUGGAUUUUGUAAAAGUGAGACACAAGACUGAUUAUAAUAGGGACAGUUUCUUUGGACCUUAAAUAAUCCAACCCAUAGUACCACAUAGCAUUACAACUAGUUAAUUAGUAAACUUGUGACAAGACAAAAUUAGCUUAAGAGAGUACCUAUGCAAAAGAAUUAAUCAUUCAAACUCACAUCUUGAUAAACGACAUCAACAAAGCAUAACCUGAAGCUAAGCAUUGAGAAGCACAACUGAUCGAGACAAUUUGGCCCUCAGAUGUCGCUUAAUUUUCUUUCAUUUUUUUCACUUCUGAUCAACAGGAGGUGACUUCCUAUCAUUGGUCCAGAAACCAUGGAAACAAACUACUGUAUUCCUCCACUUCAAAACUACAGCAAGAUACUAUUUCUCAGGUGUCCUUCAAGUGAGCUGAUAAUUAACUACUACAUAUAUGCAUGAAUAGGAUAGCUUGAGACUCAUGAAAGACAUCCUUGAAAUUAUUACUUUCCAAUCCAUUAAACAACUAAAAGAUGAGAUUUAUAAAAGGUCAUGUUUCAUAAUUUUGUCCUAGCUAUAUAGCAAAAUAUUCCCUGCUAGAUAACAAAGUAUCUCAUAUAUUAGGCCAAUCCCAUGGCUGACUAUGAUUCCACUUUUCAGUAAGGUACAGAAAGUUCAGAUCCUGCUGGAGAAAUGCAUCCUCCACACUAUAGCAUCUAAAUUGAUCAUUAAAUUUCCUCCCUUAUAGAAAGAAACAGCUAAUGGAAUUUUCCAUGUACCAUCGCAGUACUUGUCCAACCUUUGUGGUCAUGCAGAAAUUCAGCUCAUAGAUCUUCUCAUUUGGACAAUUUUUAAAAUAAAAAUGAGAAGCAUCACUUAGAAUCAAUUGCCAAAACACAACCAAGUCUAUCAAAAAUUAAUCUUUGCCAGAUCUUCAUCCAAUAACAUCAGGUCAGUCCUUACAGAAGGGAAUAGUUCUAGAUCACAGCAAGUUCUGGUGAGUCAUAAUUUUUUUUCCCCUUAUCUAAGGACGAGUUCAAAAUUGACAAUUUUUAAAAUAAAAAUGAGACGCAUCACUUAGAUUAAAUUGCCAAAACACAACCAAUUCUAUCAAAAAUUAAUCUUUACCAUAUCUCCAUCCAAAAACACCAGAUCAGUCCUUACAGAAGGGAAUAGUUCUUGAUCACAGGAAGUUCUGGUGAGUCAUAAUUUUUUGUCCCCUUGUAUAAGGACGACUUCAAAAUUGACCAUCUGAACAAAAAAAUAUUUAGGAGUUUCUGGUUGCCACUACGUUAAAUGCAUGCUUACAUGCACUUACCUGCUUCUAAAUGCAUGCUUACAGUACAUGAACUUGCUUACCUAUUUAAUAAAUGCAUGCUUACAGUACAUGUACUUACCAACUUCAUAAAUGCAUGCUUACAGUACAUGUACUUACCUUGACAUAGUUGAGGCUCAGACCAGCAAAUAGUUGCCUCCAUCCCUGAGUAUGGAGGAUGAAUGAAAGCCCUUGGACUGUUCCCCUGAUGAGUGGAGCACCUGGGUGAUUUAGCGAUUGCUGAUUUUGAACCUAAGAACAUAAAGAAACUAAUCACAAACUACAUCCUUCAUGAUUGGAAGAAAAAAUCAUCCUACUGUUAUCACAGAAUGACCACUAAAAGAAGGCACAGGACAACAUCAAGUGGUAGAAUACCUGCAUCUGUCUCCUGACCACAUCUAGUGGAUAAGUGAGAGUCUGCCCAAAUAAACCAGCUAAAGCCCCACAUGAGAGGCGUAGAACUACAGACUUUUGGUAUUCUUCAGGUACCCGAGCCUUGAGAUCUUCAUAUAUAUAAAAUUUCAGACCAGCAUAAGGAAGGAUACCAAUAAGCGUAGGACCUGCAUCAACAUAACAUGAUAGUUAUCAUACUGCCAUGCUUGAAUCAUUUAAUGGAGAUCUGUCAUGAUCACAGCUUAUGUCAACACAAAAUAUUGCAGCACCAACUUGAGAGAUUACUGGCAUCAAGCAUACAUCAGUGCACGGUCCAUUCAAAUGUGCAAUUCCAGAAGAAUGAAAACAGAGAAAUAUUAACUGGCGUAAACCACAUGUUUUGUGUCAAGGUUCGCAAUACCGUACCGUACCGAUAUUUCGACCUGAGCUCGGUACCGGUACGGUACGGUAUACCGAGCGGUAUACCCAGGCGCGCCGAGUACUAUAGCACUGCUACAGUGCUACAGUAUACUCGGACCGGUAACAGGCGAUCCGCGUACCGACAACCUGUCGGACCGAUACAUACCGCCCGUACCAGGCGGUACGGUUCGGUAUGGCAGACCCUGUUUUGUGUAGCCUAAGCUUCUUUUGAAACUGAUAAAUGAUUAUUCAAAGUUAAGGAGCAGGGUGAUCAUUAGAAAGCUUACGCAAUAACUGACAAAGGGAAGGAUAAACAUAACUCCAAUUACACAAACUAAAGAAGCAGGGUGGUUGUUUGAAAGAUUAUACAAGAGCUUAACGUACCUACUCCUCGAUAUAGAGAACGUAUCCCACCUUCCAUGUAGACCUUCUUAAACACAUCUCCAAUACCAGUAUAAGCAGGCUGAGGACUAAACAUUCUUAGACCACUACUCAAUCUCCCUGGACUGUUUACCUGAAACGAUAGUUUAAGCAAACAUCAACCAAGGCACCACGAUCACAUUGAAUACAAACAAAACUGUCCAACGUACAAAAAUAGCUAAGAGGUUCUAAGUAGACACGAAAAGGAAGAAGAAAAUACAAUGCUACCCUGGUUAUACUACUACCCAGGGAUUAGAUGAUAGCACAAAUAGGGCAAAUUUUGACAGGAACAAAAUCAAUCAACACAAUGACUAAUUACUACAAUAAUCUGAAAUAUGGCUGAGUGACCUAAGCUUAUCAACCAAUUGACAUUAAUGCCUAGAAUUAGUUUGUUUGUCUUAACAAAAUACUCCAAAAUCCUUAAUUGCAUGAAAUGCACAUGCAGAACAUCAGAAACAAAGUUUGAGAAGAUCAGAAAUCAGGCAAGAAAAUAAGAAUAAUAUCCAUAAGAGCAUAAGAAUUAGACUUUGCAUUUACCUGAUAAGCCAGCUUAGUCCGAGCUAAAUCUAAUGGAUAGGUACACAAAACAGCAGUCCCACCAGCAGCUGAACCAGCUAGAAGAUCAACAAAUGGUCCCGAGAUAAAUGAAGAAUGAUUAUUCAGAAUCCAACAACGAUACUGCUCAUAUGUCAUGAAGUGUAGUGCUGCAUAAGGUACAAUUCGGAGCACACUAGCACCAUUUCCUCUAAAAGACAAAAAUGACAAAUAUUAAAACGUAAAAAAACUAAUAAUUGUUUAAAAUGUAACUCUGCAGUUUUAUUAGUUUCUACUUACUUAUAGAAUCCAAAGAAGCCCUCAUGUUGCCACAACUUCCUCAAAGAUUGUAAAAUCCCAAGAGAUUUAAACCCUUCGGUUCUUGUCUGUCAAAGUAACAUUGAAAGCAUAAAUAACAUUAUAAAUCUAAUAAUAUAUAAGCCUUUUCAACAAAUUCCUGUUUAUCAUAUGUCCUCAAGAAGUUCUAGAAACUGUCACGACAAUGAUACAGAAAACAGAUGAGAAGCUAACAUCAUUUUUCACCUCAAGAAACAAGAUGAGAAAUAAAAUAGCACAAAUUUACGUGGCACUUGUUGACACAAUUUGACCUUAAAAGAACAGAUGACUAGAGAGAAACCUCAGCAUUAGCAAAUCAAACAACAGACAAUCAUUAAUGAAAGGUUUCAAAAUCCGAAAGGGCACAUGGUAUACCUUAUCUCAAAGCGUAAAAAUAUCUCUAUACUACAGUAACUAGCUACUAUGAACAUUUCGGUCAAAUAAAACCAUAACGAGACAACCAACCGAUUGGAGCUUCACACUUGGCCUAGAGUCCUUGGUGUAUUAUCUUACCCAUGUAUUUUGUGUGGAUAUACAAUUCAGAAAUACAUAAAAAAUCAACCCAUUGGAAAAAGUAGAGUAUCACUGAAAGAACAAGCAGAACUCCAAACAAGUGGUGAAAAACAAAAUAGCAUCUAAAAGAAUCAUCAAAUUAAAGACCACCAAUACUAUACCACUGUACUCUUAAAACUAGGAGAAAUUAAUUACUGCAUACAGCACCAACAUGGUUUAUGAUACUUAGGAAAAAAAGAAUAUAUGUCUACAAAAUGUUAUUCAUAAUCAACAACAAGUGAUAUAUUCGGUAGAACAUACUUUUAAAGAACCGCAGUUGAAGAAAAAUUCAUGACAAAGGCAUAAGCUAUUCUGGAGACACCUCACAACAGCCAAGAAAUUACAAGCUAAACGAAAGUUGCAAGAUUAGGCUCAGAGACGGGUGAAUAAAUCGAGACGACACCUCUUACAUCAUAUUCUAGAAAGGUUUAAACGAGACUUGGGACGAGACGCGGGAAUAUAACACAGUCAUCAAGAUAUAGCAAGCAAAGGGACGAGAUAACAAACCUGCAAUAUUAUCUUAAUGCGCUCAAGGGGUGCUACUGCAGUCUUCGAGAACGCCCCAGCGGCUCCACCGGCGAUCAACUCCUUAACAUAAACCGGCAACAAAUCCACCACAGAUACAUCCACCUUCGCAGCCGCUGCUGCGGAUGUCAUCGUCGAUCCUUGGGACGAAUCCAUAUUCCCAAUCCAAACGGAACCAGAACCUAAAUAGCGCUAUAUAUGUAACUAAAAGCGGAGGGAACGUAGAUGUCUAGUUACCCCGCUUGCAAUUUGGCGAACUCCUUAUCCCAUCGAUCUCUGGGGAGGCAAAAGAAGAAGUCUUUCCCAAGGAAGGAGCGCGGAGGCGGGGGGCGAAUGCCAAGAAACUGGUAGGGUUCCUUCGCAUCCGAAUCGGCCCCGGGGAGGAGAAGAUACAUCAACAGGGGAGGAGAUCUUGGGAUCCACAAAGAUCGAACUGGUAGCGAGGAGAUUAAAAACUCUAGAAGCGAUCGAUCAAUCCCAUGGAUCGACGACGAUCUCACCGAUUCCCAUACGAGGUCAACGACUCCGAAACCCCGGCGCGAUCGGGACCACGAUGAAGAAGAAUCGGAGAAGCAAAGGAAAAAAGGCGGUGGAAUUAGGGUGCCUCCGCUUCUCCGAAACUAACUUCUCCGCCUCCUCUACGCUAACGAUCCGCCCCAAUUAUAAUCCUCAGCGAUUUCCUCUUUCAUCAACGCUAAUCACGGGGGGAUACCGGAGACCGAAUAAGAGUUCGGGGAUAAGGAAAGGAUACCAUACGCAGGAUAAGAAUCCCUGUAUCGGUCGGCCACGGUGCGGACUUAUCGAGGCAAUCGAACGGUACAUGCGACCUCCAUCCGCCGCCGUCGUCGCAGCUGAUGGAUUCGUGUGAGUGUUUAUGCGGGUUGUUCCGCACGGAGUAAAAUGGCUCGUUCCCAUGUGGGCCCCGAAAGCAAAGAAGAGGGGGCCGGACCGAUACCAUUCCCACCCACGCCGUCUAAAUCUGAGCCCGAAAAGAUAUACGGGCCCAUCUAUCUAUCCAUCUUAUCUUCGUCGAUAAUAUUGUAUAGAUAUAAAGAUUGAAUGGGAGUGGUUGAUUUUAAAUCAAUCACAACAGUGGGGAGGGAUGAUAUUUCCUUAUAAUUAAAAGAAAAGAUAAUAGGCGGGCAAGCCACAAGACGAAAGCUUCUAUUUCAUGCAGGAGAGCUUGCCUGAGACCGUGCAUGGCGGCAGCAGGAAACGUAUGGUACCGUGGAAAAUGAUGCUAUAUAUGGCAUUGCAUAGCCACAGAAUUGCGGCAGUGAAGACUUUGACCUGGGAUUUAGUUGACAACAUCGGCCUGUCGUAGACUCUCCGUGCAACGUUGGCACGGUCAAAAACAACUCAUAUAUAAUAUUAUCGUCGUAGACCUGUGGAAAUGCUUUCGCAGAGGCAGCUUCGAUGCACCAGCCAUGCCUUGGAUCUUGCGUUCGUAAACGUAUAAUAUCUCUCCCCAAGUCAGGUGUUCUUUGAAUGACCCGAAAAGUUGAAGAGCGAAGCUCGACGGACGUACGUUGUUUACUGUUCUUUCUCUUCUUAAAACCCACCCGUAUUCUCUUCUUCUCUAACAUACCUUAUUUGCAUGAAUUUGGAUUGUUAGCAUCAGACGAGAACGAUAAUUAAGUAGCCUCCUUGUCCUGCAAUGACUGGAUCAAAUGAGUGACCACUAGAAGACAAGCCAAGGCGACCAGCUAAAUCUUGAGGUUUGCAGCUGACAUCGAAAGCCCAACCACCAUACUGACAUGGGAGACCGGAGGUGUACACUUCAUGCCACCCACCAUAACCCCAAGACCCAUGAUAAAUAUCAUCACUACGCCAUCAAUGACGUACCUAAUAAUUAUUGUAUCCGUCGAUAAAACAAGGAUCAUCGUAAGAUAUAUAGUCAUCUCAUAUCGAGAUCUUUUAACUUGUACACGCAAUAAGAAACGUCAAGUAUGCUAAAAGCGACUUGCUAGCUCGCAAAGACGAAGUCAAUGGCAGUCGCACAGCCGACGAGCUCAAACUUCCCAGAUCUCCGAGUAUCACAGUAGAAGAUAUCAGUUCGAGAAGUCUUACACGGAUGGUACCACAUGAGCAGGCAGGACGGGAGGGGUUGACUCGGUGACCUGGCCAGAAUCUAAUCCAACCUGUCCCCCAGGACAUGUAUGGUUGGGUUUUCUCCUACCCCCACAUGCAGACUUCCAAGGUGGCGCAGAAUUGAUCGUCCCUCCUCUCUGGCCUCUGCUCCCGACAAAGGCGAAGUCGGAAAGUCCAUGCACGGGAGGGUUUCGGUUUUCCACAAGUUAUUUUUUCCACGGCUACCGCGGAAGAACCACCGUUGGCAAUCGUCUUUUGCUACCUUCAAUCCCGAUCCCAGCUUCGUUUCCAGUUUCCACAAAUCACACGGCAAGUGGACUCUGAUCUGAAGACUAGUAAGAGGACUAGUCCAGUCUAUUUCGUGUCCUUUGGUGUUCUCUUCUCCACACAUAGAUAUUAAACCGUCUCCCUAUAUAUGAAAGAGGGGUGGGUGGCCGCAAUCAACAUUAGCUGUUGGGGGCUGUGCAAUACCAGUAGAAUUCUUCCCCUUCUGCUGCUGCAGAGCAGUUGCUUUCCAUCCGUGAUCUGUCGCGUACGGUGACCAAAACUUGUUCCCUUCCCUUUUUUAAUUCUGCCUCUUCUUUCGCUGCAUGCUUUCUUUCUCGAAAUUAUAUCUGAUGAAUUCUUUUCUUUUUCUUUUCCUCUCGUUUUCUUCUGGCUUCUGCGCGGAACAUGCUGCUUUGAUUCGAUUAGGACCUAUUGUUGUUGCGAUUUUGGUGAAGUUAGAUGCUGGUUUUGCGACCGAUCAUUGAAGUAUUGCAUGUGAAGCUGUGGAUUUUGCAUGGUUGAUCCCUGAGUAAUUUGGUUCGGAUUUAACAUAAAAUUCCUACAGAGAGGGCUCUGUUUUGCCCCCCAAAAAAAUCCGUGAUUUAUCAUAUGGAAAGCAUGAGUUUUGGAGCAAACCAUUUGUUUUUGGGUGCUCUUUGUGUUCUAGACUACCUCUAAACUCUUUCAUGAAGGUUGUCAGAGCUAAACCUGCGUGUGAUGCUCACUGUUGAAAAUUUAAAAGUAUAAUUGUUCUAUAGGCGAGAUUUGGAGAGAUAGUAUGAGCUUAUUGUUUUCCUUGGUUUUAUAGAACCAUGGUUUGUCUGACACGAGAAACACAAUCCUUUUCGUUUUCUGGCAGAGGCAAAAAUCAUCAUCCCGAAAUCGCUCGACAUCACAAGGAAUAAUUCCUGAGCGUGAUGGUAUCUGGUGUGCCCGGUGGUGCAGUCAUGGAGAGGUCAUUAAGCUUCAAGAACUGGGAACCUGGCGUCACUGAGCUCGAUCGAUCUUUCUCCGAACAAGCCACAGAUUAUGUGGCAGCGCAGCCAUCUAGUCUCAAGGUCCCGGUGAACUUCGUGCUGCCUCAUGUGAAGCUUCCGGAGCAGCUCCCUGCGUUUUCCUCACCGAGGCCUUUGAGAGAGCUCGACGCUGCGGCAAUUACGUUGCAAAAGGUCUACAAGAGCUAUCGAACCAGAAGAAAUCUUGCAGAUUGUGCAGUAGUAGUCGAGGAACUCUGGUGGGCCUCUGACUUCAGCUUGUCACUUCCAGGAUUUGUGCUGCUCCUUUACCUCACUCUAAAUCCUUCUCCUCCUCCUCUGACUGUAGGUGGAAGGCACUGGAUUUUGCAUCUCUUAAGAGUAGCUCUGUCUCGUUCUUCCGCGUCGAGAAGCCAGAAACAGCGGUUUCUAAAUGGACAAGGGCGAAAAAAAGAUUAGCCAAGGUAAUUGGGUUGUUUGCUUCUAUCUACACAAUUCAAUCAAAUUGAUGUACGUGUCCAUCUUUCUCAGGUUGGUAAGGGUCUGUCCAAAGACGAAAAAGCUCAGAAACUAGCACUAAGGCACUGGCUCGAAGCUGUAAGCAUGGUCUUACGGAACCUAAUUAGAACUUUACAUGAGUGGUUCAACGGACAAUGAUUCCUUCCGUGUUGUGCUCUGCAGAUUGAUCCACGGCAUCGCUAUGGGCACAAUUUGCAUUUAUAUUAUGAUGUCUGGUUCGCCAGUGAGAGCACCCAACCAUUCUUCUACUGGUAAAACCAAGAACCAUGCAUGCUCAUCCCGUUCAUUUGGAGAUUCAUGGUUGUAUGAUGUGGAGCCUUGGUUUGCUCAUCCCGUUUGAUGAAUAUCAAGGUUGGAUGUCGGAGAUGGAAGAGGAGUAAAUAUCGACGAGUGCCCAAGAAGCAAGCUUCAAAAGCAGCUCAUCACUUAUCUUGGUCCGGUAAGCUCCUUUCUCUAGCUCAAGGACACUUGAAUUGUCCGGAGUUGCCAUUCUGUGACAACUUCGCCAAAUUGAUUCCAGAUGUUUAUGCUCUGGAAGCAUACCUGAUCGCAUACUAUGUUCAUCUCCUCGCAGAAAGAGAGAGAAGCUUAUGAGGUCUCCGUCCGGAACGGGAAGCUUGUCUACAAGCAAAGUGAGAGGCUUUUGAACACUCCGCAAGGAUCCAAGUGGAUAUUCGUGCUCAGCACAUCAAGAUCAUUAUAUGUGGGAAAGGUGAAAAAGAUCAUGCAUAUUUUGGACGCGGAUAUCCAAUUAGAUGAAACUUCAUGACGUAUUUAUCUUGUGUGGUUCGCUGCCUGUUGAGCUUACCAAGUCCUUUUGGUGUUUUUCUCCAUGGCAGAAGAAGAGGGGCACAUUCCAACACUCGAGCUUCCUAGCUGGGGGAGCUACAACAGCUGCCGGAAGGCUCGUUGCCGAAGAGGGCGUCCUGGAGGUACGAUCACAUAGCUGCACACAACCUGAGUAGUCCAGGAAAGCAGCAGCAAAACAGCUUAAACUUUACAGACCUUGAUGUUGAUUGUGAUCCUUGAUAUAUCCUGUUUAAGUUCUUACGAGUUGCUAAUUACCUCAGGCUGUAUGGCCGUACAGCGGCCACUACCUCCCGACCGAGUAUCAUUUUGGGGAGUUCAUUAGUUUCCUCAGGGACAACCAUGUAGAUCUGACCAAUGUCCAGGUAAAUCUGCAGUCUUCCUUUGUGGUGUUCGUUUCGACGAACAUUGUAAUAGGUAGUCCGGAGAAGAGGUCAUCCAAUUGGAAGAUUUAUCACUAAAUUAGACAGAUGUUUGGCAAGCAAACAAAGAUUGCAUGAUCGACGGCAUAGUGUAGUCCGCUUGCAUGCAUGACCAAAACACACAAUUUUUUGCAUUUCAGAGACGCUCCGUCGACGAUGAUAAGAUACCUGCCUACAGCAACGAUAAUAGUGAGGCAGCAGUUGAAGCAGAAGCAGAGGCGGCUGCGGUGGAAGAGAUUGCUGAGAGUGAAACUAAAGUUGAUAGCAAAGAGGCUGCAAGGGAAGAGAGCGUGGAGAAGGAAGUGGAGUUUGCACUGGGGAGGCGCCUGUCGUGCAAAUGGACUACCGGCGCCGGUGCUCGCAUCGGGUGCGUCCGGGACUACCCGACCGAUCUGCAGUUCAAGGCACUGGAGCAAGUCAACCUGUCACCCAGGCUCAUUCCUUCGCCCAUUGGGAACAAGACCCCCAUCCCUUCACCACGACCCAGCCGCGAGCACAAGCUGUCCCCCAGGCUUCAGUUCAUGGGCCAUCCUACCCCCGUUUUCUCCCCUACUCUUCCCAAGCCCAACAAGUGACGUGAGAGGCUCGCAGAAGACGCCGGAGAAGUACCCGCGCCGAACAGACCUACAAUACUUGUUUGUUCGUCAACGCUUCGUUGGUAAAGCUGAAGCGGCUUUUGCUUUCUCUGCUCCUUUCUGGAGCGCUCUGAUGUUUGUUCAGUUUAAAUGUAACGGAGAAAGUUGCUAUAUUUUGUAGAUUAAAUACGACCGGCAAUGUGGAAAUCCCUAACAAAACAACUCAAACAUAUGAAUUCAGCGAGGCAAUCGUAAGACCCUGAAUCUUUCGAUGAACAUCUCUAGAACCGACAUCAACAUCAAACAAAACUCCGUAGGAAUCGAACUGCAGUUAUCUGUGUUUAGCUGACUACAUCUUGGAACAAGAGAUUAAAAGAAGGACAAGUGCGUCGCGAAAUCAGAAGCUUGAGCCAGCCGAAGAAACGCCACCAAAAGCAACGACGACAAGCGUCUAGAAGCGAAACACGAUAAGCGCAUCACAAAGGAAAAUAAGCGAAAUAAUGAUGAAAUAGAAUCCAAAUUACAUCGACGUACUACGCGUCUAUAAAAUCACACCCCAUACUCUCCUAUGCAUCCAUUAUUUAUCAACGAAACCCUCCUGCACAUCGAACAAUGCAGCACAAAUAGCCAACGUAGUGUCGCACGAUCACCAGAUCGCAAGGAAAGGAUCGACUGCGCUCAGCGGCGGAGGGGCCCGAGGAGGAGAGCGGCGGCGGAGGAGGCGAGGAGCGUGACGCCGAGCAGGGGAGAGAGGGUUCCGGCUGCGGAUGUGGGGCUAACGGCGGGAGCGUCGGCAGCGGAGGCGACGCCAGCGAGAAGAGCGACGGAGACCACCGAAGCGAUGCGGAUCGCCACGGCUCUGGCACCGAAGGCCGCCAUGGCGUCGACUGCCGUUUCUGCGAGCGACGGUGG
RNAcentral lists this long non-coding RNA (56837 nucleotides) under Musa acuminata (dwarf banana). RNAcentral's name for it is "long non-coding RNA (MACU_LNC004807)". The record is from RNAcentral. Lineage: Eukaryota; Viridiplantae; Streptophyta; Magnoliopsida; Zingiberales; Musaceae.